Long non-coding RNA from Cavia porcellus (domestic guinea pig), 57880 nucleotides. RefSeq lists it as uncharacterized. The transcript has 2 exons. The record is from RefSeq and is a predicted model, not a curated record. Lineage: Eukaryota; Metazoa; Chordata; Mammalia; Rodentia; Caviidae.
AUCUUUACUGCAUCUUGAGGCGGGUGGGGACCUGACCUGGGGGUAGUCAGCGAUGGGGCCUGGGCAGGUCUUCUGGCCUUGAGUAGAUGCAGCUUCAGGUCAGUGCGCCUGGCAGAGCUAGUGAGGGCACCUGCUGUGUGCCAGAGCUCGGACCCAGGAAGCUGGGCUGGUGUGGGAUGUCGUGUGUGCGGAUCCCAGAUCUGUCUAGUGUAGGAGGGCUGGCAGCCGCGCUGGACGCAGGGAGAGGCAAUUGCGCCAUGGUGGGCGCUGGGCUCAUUGACCCAGAGCCUGGAGGUCCCAGGGUCUCUUCUAGCUAAGGUGCUAUGGUGAGCCUGCAGAUAAUGACCUACACUGUUGAGGAAUUUGCUAAUUGGUAAAGAAAGCUCAGGUGAGAACAUCAGCCAGUGUUUGUUGGGUAUUUCACCCUUCUGUAAAUAGGGAAGCAAGAUAAAUUAAAUCUUAAAUUAGUAAAGCUUCGGCUUUAAGAUAAGUUAAAUCUUUAGUAUUCAUGAUAUUUCUGUGUUUUUUGGUUCAUUUUGUUUUACACUACUUCUGCCAAUUGUGUGAGGUUAUCAGUUAUGUUUCAGGUAAGAAGUAAAAUUAAACAUUUUGUAUUCCUCCAUGGUUCAGUGUUCUAAAUGAUGCCUUAACUCAGAUGGACUGUAAGACUAGAGGCCUGGGACCCAUUGCUGGGAUCUCAAUCUAUUUUGACAUAUAUGUGCUAAGGUAGCAAUAGUAUCAUACAUUAAAAAACUAAAAACUUGGACUGAGGAAGUAAACAUAAGAUAUUAAAAUGCCUCAUUUUUGGAAUUGAGGUGAUUUCUUUCUGAGACCAUCACAGGGAGGAAUGGAAAUUGUUGUUUGUUUUCCUUACUGUUCCCCCAGUCUUUGCUUUUGCCUCACAGAAAAUCCAUUGGAACUCCAGUGUUAAAGAUGGUUAUUCUUCCUUCUUUUUAAGAUUUAAAAAAGAAACAUGAUCUGUCUAUUUCUGUUAAAUCUGUCUUGCAUCUGAAACUGUUGCAUGUGUCUGAAAAAGAGUGUAACUAAAAGCUGCCCCCUAAGUUAUGACAUACCCUUCCUUUACAGUGUUUGCCAGUUUCUCAACAGUUGUGAAACCCGAAGACUGAUGUGUGACAUGCAGAGAGCGCUUUAUUUGCAUGGAACUAAAUUAAUGUUGCCUUCAGCUCUAAAAUUGUGCGUCUCUUUCUACAGUGACUGUUUGCCUCAGUUUUUUUGCGGUGGGGAGGAGUUACAAGUUCUGAUGCAACAUGUUCAGUUAUUUCUGUGUUAAAAAAUGAGAAUGUCUACUAUGUCAUUUCUAAACUGUACUCCUAGGUUGCUGCAUGUCCUUGAAAGUGUGUAAAACUAUUAAUCUGCAUAGUCAGUUUUAGUUUGAAACAUACGGCCACUGGACAUGGUGUCUUGCACUUUGCCUUGCUUAUUAGUCAUUGAGUAGCUUCCCACUGAAUGGGCACUGUACCAUUCUCAUGUAUUUUCUGAAGCAAUUCAAAUUCCAUGUUUAUCUUGAGUUUUAUUGAUGAAGUUCUGGUUCUUUGCAAAUGGUUCUGCAAGGUGACUGGUGAGCUGAGCGGGAUACUUCCUUCUCCAGCCAAGGCAGGAGGCAGGAACAGAUCUGAGAAGGCAAUAAUAAGGUGACACUGCCAGGUUGGGUGCGGUUUUGUUGCUUGAUAAUUUGAACUGACAUCGUGUCUCCUGAACAAAAGUAAAAUUCUCUUCACCUUAGCCCAUUGGCUUGGACUUGAAAGCUGUCUUUCAGUUUCUGUUGUAUUUCCCUUAGGCUAAUCAAUUCCUGACAAAUGAGAAAAGAUAUGUUAAUCACUCAGUGUUGGCUUUAUGGGGUGAUUGAUGUAUUUUAAUUAUUGCCUAGGUUUAGAUUCAGAGAAAAUGAGCUGGCAAACUUUAUGAGAAGAACAAAACAAAAACAAACUAAGAAAAGAGUGCUGUCUGUGGACAUCUCAGAGUGUGAAUUUCGGCCUUGCUGAAUGACCUGCCACCCUCCUCACUGAGUGCUGUCCAGUGGAGCAGCACAGGGGCUGGCUGUGAGACACUUAGCGGAAGUGUCGCCAGCUCUCACGGCUUAUUCUCUCAUCAGUGGGCUUUGGGCCCUUCUGUUGAAAUUUGUUUUUAAACAUCUUGUACGCUAUGCUAUUUUAUCAAAUUAAGAGCACUAUACAUUCCUUAAAAUGAUGUAACCAGGAUUUCAAGUCAGGAUUUCAAGUUUGUGUUGCUUUUUGUUUACUUUUCAUAAAAAAAUUAAAAUUUUAAAAUUAAAAUUAAAAAAAAAGUGGCACUGUUGGUUUGUUCUUUAUAUUUAAUGCUAUUAAAGUCCUCACCUGCCAUGUGUGGGCUGAUCAGCGGGGUCAGUUGUCCCUGGCAGUCUGUUUCUCCUCAUCCUGUCUGCAGUUCUCCUCUCAUCUCCUUUGGAGGCGCUUCUGCCUGCACCUCACGUGGGUCACCUGGGGGGCCGGUUGUGGAGAGGUUUGUUUGCUUGGUGCCCUCUUCUCCCCAGCAGGUAGCAAGCCCUGGAUAGGGAGCCUGGCUCCCCUCAUUUCAUGUUUUCAGCCCUAGCACAGACAUUUAUGUGCAGUAGACAUUGAUUCAUGUUUGUUAAAUCAGUAAAGUAGUAGAUGAAGGAUAAGAUGACUUACGGUUUCAAAUUAGGGAGUUCUGUUUUGAAAUUUUGUAGCUCUUAAGUCAUGGCCAGAUCACAAAUACCUGGUGAGUUUCUCAGUUUGUAAGCUUGAGUGCUGUGGACACAUGAGUUUGAAAUGCUCUUUUGGGGUGUGUGUGGGGCUCCUGCCUGCUAGUCAGCCUGUUGAGGACAGUCUGCAGGGGUGGUGGGCAUGGUCUCCAGCGGGCAUAUGGGGCGGAGGUGUGCAGGUCAUUUUCUUCCUCAGAUGAGCAGUGAAGACACUGGGUUAAGGGAGUGCUGUGUGGCCAGAGCUGCAAAGUCCAGUCUAGACUUCACAGUGCACAUGUGCAUGUGAAUCAGAAUUGGAGAACUGCAGAGUAAAACAGUUGGUGCAUGCAGGUAGGCCCAGCCUCUGGCCUCCUGUGACCGUUUUUUAGAGAAGCUCAGCCCUGACAUUGAUACCAAUCACCAAGCAGUGCAGUGAGGCUCUGCUCUUCCUGUGGGCCGCUGACCCUGCACUGGCUCAGCCUUGGCCCUGUGGCUUCACUUGAAAGCUCGCCAGCUGGGAUUGUCCUAGCUCGUUUCUUUUCAUUCCUGUCCCUUCUCUACCAGGAUCAAGUCUGUCUUCCGGCUACUGAAGAGGUUCAUUUCAGGCAUUGAAGUCCAGGGGAACUCCGGUUUCCCACGUGACAUCGUGGCAUGCUGUCUGCUCGCAUUUGCUGAUAGGGAGAGUAUCUCUGUUCACAGGGUGCUCAGAGCUCUUCCUGAGCAUUCUGUCGCAUUCCACAUGUCCGUCCAGCAGUGGAAGUGUGAAGGGCAGGAAUGCGUUUUCAAAACUCCCCUUGAGAGGACUUUAGGUUGUGGCAGGAGUGGAGUCAGGCAACCCAGCUAAGCCUAGGUGUAGGUAAAUUCUCAAGUGCAGUGUUUCCAUCAACCCCUCCCCGCCCAGCUGAGGAGGAGGAAUGGCAUUGGGCAUGUCAGAAGCUGAGGGCCACAGUUAACAUUUCUUAACCAGGUGGGGACAUUAAACACUGGAAUAGAUUAUCAGGGCUCUUCUAAGUGGAAAGAAUAAAUGAUUCAUAUGUAUUUUUACUAUAAAUAUACACCACUUUGCUAAAGAAGUUUGAAAGGUAACAUGAACAAUUUUUUAAGCUGGAAACCUGGAAAGCCUGGCCCGCUAUGGGCCCCGAGCUGGGGAGAAGGAUUGGGUAGCAGAAUGGACCCUUAACCCAUUAUACCUCCCCAUGCUGAGCCUAUGCACAAUAGGCACGUUUGACUACUGGGAUUGGAAAGGGCACCCCAAAUGUAGUAGCCCCAUCCCUUUACCCCCUUUGGCAGGUUAAAGCCUGCUGCACAAGCCAUGGGAAACGAGGGGAGGACCCCUCCUCAUCCUGGACAGCUCUGCCGGAAAGAAGUGUUUCUGUGUACCUGACUGCAGUUCCAGUUGGACACACAAGUUUAUUUCUAGUUUCAUCUUGUGGGUCAAAGAAUGAGUCUUGUCUUGUCAGUUUUCCCCAAGGGAGAUCACUUGGUAUGGAAAACAGUUUCCCAGGGGUGAGUCUCAGGCCAUUUCCCCCACACAGGAUGGUCUCCGGCUCCGGACAGUGCAGUGGCUUUCCUUUCAAUCCUGGGCUGACAGGAUCCCUCAGAAGUGCAGUGAAUGCAGUUCAUCUCAGCUCUCCUUCUAUGUAGCUUUAGCACUUGAGCUCAGCUCCUUCCAUUCUUCCAUCAGGCUCUUCCUAAUGCUCAUGUUAACCUUCAAGCGCCAGGGCUCAGUUUGUCGAAGGGGCACAUCUAGCAACUGUAGGUGCGCUUGGCAGGAUGGGGUUCACCAUGGCAAGACCCAGAUGCUCUUGGUCCUAAUGCUUUUUCCACUGAAACUCUUUUGUCUGCACCUUCAAGGUGUCUGACACGGAUUCUGUGUAAGUGGGCACAUCCCAGAAAGUAGGUGUGUGUUAACACUGACUUUCUACAGGUGUUGCUUUUGCCUUUUAUUUGUCAUACAGGCAAGAAGUAAAGUCAGGAGUCCAGCCUGGCACCCUGGGAGUGGUGCAGGGACACUGAGAGGCCGUGACCACUAUUUAUUCUUCAGAACACUGUUGUGGAAACCCUGCCACAGCCAAGCUGCCUCUUGGGCCUGCUUUUUCUGUGCCUGGACUUUUGAAAGUUUUGAUUAAACAACCCUUCAGACCUUGGAUUUUGGUAACUCAAUGGGUUUGUGUAGUGGUAAUUGGAUGCCAGGGGUAAGUUUCCCUAAUGCUUGAAAGAGGUGUGACAUAGCACAUUGGUGUGUGAUACUCAGUGCUGAGGUAUUAACUACCAGUAACAACAUGUAGACUUUUGCGUGUGACUAAGCAUGCCUACAUGUGAGCUAGAGUGGAUUCUGGUUCGGCGCCAGACAUCACCAACCUUCAGUGUUCUCAUGUGAAACGAUGAUGCUGUAGGCAUGAUAGCAGAUAUAUCGUGACCUGCAGCCUGCAGAUCCUGCUAUGUGCCUACACCUGGUUUUCCACUCUUCUCUGUAUCUCCCUGGAUGUUUUUGAUAACAAUGAAUUAAAAUCUGGACCCAUGCAUGCUAGUGUCUACUCAUGUGGGUCUCGUGGACAGAAAGGCUGAUCCCUGUCAUGGGAGACCGUGCCUUUGCUAGGUGGUUUGUAAACUGAGCAAUCCUUGAAUCAUUUACGUGGGCUCUGGGGGUAGUUUCCAAGCAUGCUGCAGAACCUUUCCUUACACAUCUAGGGGCCUCCUGGCCUGAGAUGCCAGGACCAGCUUUAUUUAUUUCAAUAAAUUGAUUUUUUUCAGAUAGAAUUUUCAAAAGUAUAGAUCUUUAAAUGCACUUCAUGAAAUGACUGAAUUUUCUUCCAUUUAGUAGUAUUGGACAUAGCAGAAAGCUUGUUCUUAAGGAACAUUUCGAGAAUGAACCUUUUAUGUGUUGGUUUAAAGUCAUAUCCUGUCUUUUUAAGCAUCACCUAAUUUCGUACAUUGUCUCCUCCUCCAUCUAGCAUCAUGGUAAAAGGUGAACCCUUGAGUGCAGGAUGACUGUCCACAGAUACUUCUUUUACUUGCAAACCCUCUGCUUUCCUGGCUGUCGGUCCUCGUGGUGUGGGCAUCAGAGUUUAGUGCUCAUUGCUUACUGGCUUCCUCCUUGUCUGUGAGGGGAGAAUAUGGGAAGGCCAGGGCCCCUAGCUGGAGCUCGGGGUGGGCUUCAUACCACGGUGGGUGUAAUUACUAGCAAAGCUGUAGCCUGCUGCGAGAAUGCAGAAAAGAUGCUGAUUAACCAUCUUUGAAGAUUGUACUGUCAGUUUUGGCAAAAAUAUGUAAAUGUAACCAAUAUUAAUUUUCCUAAGUAAAGUGUAUAUAGGCAAAUGUUAGGACAUUGAGCUUCUUUCAGGAUAAAGGUGAUCUGAAAAAAGUUGUGGAGAGUGAUACGUUUGAACCUGGAAUUUUGCAGCCGUUAACCACUGACCUUGCCCAGAAUAUAGUGAGACAGUUGUGGCUGUGAAAGGUGGAAGUGACUAAAAGUCAGCUGGUUCAGCCAUUGCAGGGAACAAAGAUGUUCCUGUUAGCUGGGUAAGCAGCCACUGGCUGCCCUCAAAACAAAACAAAAACAAAAAAACAACUCCAGUGACAGACAGGGAGGCAGCAUCAGUGUGGAAAGGACAUCUUACGUUUCUUUGUCCAGGUCAUGCAUCCAGCUGCAAUGCGUUCUUCUCCUCAGAAUUAAAGAUAAAACUAGUUUUUCCCACUUGUAAUGGUGAGAGGAGUUGUACAGAACAUGCCUCACCUAGUGCCUGCUGAGAAAGAGCCUUCAGUAUGUGCCAGGUAUGGUUAUUCUGUUGUUGGAAAGCCCAGCUUUCCAAAUCUAGAAAUGAUUUGCAAACAGUUUACACUUCCUCCCUGGCCUGCUCUCAUCCUGCUGUGGUGUGGGGCCCUCUACCUUUCCACCCUGACAGGUGACAGAGGUCAGCUAGUGGCUGGCUGUUGUUGAUUGCUGUAGCUCAGGGCAUACUAGGCCACUCCUUUCUCCUAGAGACAUCAUGCUAGCUGUCGUCAUGGAUUUCCACUUUCUCUGGCAUGUCUGUCAGCCCCUCAAUGUUCUGUUCUGCUGUAGCCUGCAGGCUGUCCCAGCCCAUGUUGUCUCCUUAUUCUCACAGGGUUGAUAACUGCUUCUAGAAGGAUGAGCAGAAUGUCUAUAUCUGCAACUGUCUCUCAGACCUUCCUGCAGUUGCUAUGGAUGAGGGGGACGGAAAUAAGCUGGGAGAUCUUCUCCAGCUUUCCUGGGUUGGGUGAUGUGAUCUCUGUCUGUCCAUCCAUCCAUCCAUCCAUCCAGGCACUUGGCGACAUCGUGAAGAUGGGACCUUUUGCUAUGCUUUGGCUGUGCUGCAGUUGCCUCCCCACACCAGUCUUCUCCUCCAUGUGCAUUCAUUUUGUCACAUUGUUUCUAGCAUAUUUUUUCCCUUAUAAAGUGAACAACUGAUUAUGCCACUGUGUUUGCCGCUGCUGUGUGCAUUGGUAGCUGUAUGGUAUCCAGGGAUUUUUUCCUUAUUGAUUUGUCGGACUUCUUCAUAUAUCUGAACCUUAUUUUAUGAAACCUAGUCAAUUCACGUCUCCAAUUUGUUAGGGUUAGAUUCUUGAGCACAAGAAGAGCAUUAUUACUCAUAUAUGUAUUCUGAGUAUGUGUAUGUUUGAUAUACAGUAAAAGUUGAUUGAACUGAACUACAUAAAAGUCCAAACUAGACUUUCCAUACAAAACUUUUGGAAUUUUCUGUCUCUGUCUCCUGCAAAACUACUCUGAAGGUAGUUGGCACACCUCUGUACUAUUUCUUCUCUCCUUAACUGAUAUCUUUGAGGUGGUGUCUUACCCAGUUGAUCUCCUUAGUGCUUAUCAUGAUGCCUGGCACAUAACUCAGCAUUUUAAAAGUAAAAUAUUGGAGAAAUAUUCCUGUUAGCGUUAGUAGUCUGCCUGCCUGUUUGUCUGUCUGUCUCUUUUUUCGGUAACUGGAAUGAAACUCAGGAUCUUGUGCUUGCCAGAUAGACGCUUGUGUCACUGAACUAUACCCCUAUCCCUAGUGGUUUUUUUUUUUGGUCCAUGAUUUUCUGUUGAUGUAGCCUAAGUCAAAUUACUUACCUAAUUUAAAGAAUUGAUUCAAGGGUCACCUUACCUUCCUGCCCCCUUCCAAGGACAUUUUCAUGUGACAUAUGUAUGUAAGGCAGUUCUUCAUUAUGGAGUUUAUAAUUAUUUUUUAAUUCUAGGCAUAAAAUAUAAGAUAAUACCUCAGUGUGAUUUAAUCUUACUAAGCUUGUCCUCUGAUAGCCUUUUAGAUGAAAAAAAAAAAAAACCUAGAUUCUUGUACCUAUUUAUUUUAGUAUAUGCUCCAAUUUUAUACCUUAGAUUUGUCUAAGUAUUUAACUAAACCUGUCUACCAAGCUAAGUACAUUGGAGUAUACUUGGAGAAAAUUUGAAUGAGUUUUAGGUUCUGCAUAUGUGGCCCGGGAAAGAUUCUCACCUGCGUUAACAAGAAGCCAUUCUUUGCAAUGAUAAAUUUCGUAAAAAUGUCUAGUGUCUUUGCCUACCUACAUUGUGUUUUAUUUUUAUCUUCUGUAAUUUUAGAGAGGAAGAACUACAUUUUCCAGGGAUGAUGAUUAGAGAGCUUAUGUAUGUUUUAUUGACAAUAGUUUGUAGUAUUUUACAUUUGUAUUUGAAGAAAACAGUUUGUUCAUUUGUAGGCCAUUUUGCUUCUGUGUUGGAACUUGCUCAAAGUAAAUAAGUAAUAAAGUGCCUUCAUGGUUUUUGACCUUUCUACUCUAAAAUGUUAAUGACAUUAUGUCUCUGCCUUACCUGUGGAUUGUCUCCUUUUAAAUACCUUGUGCAAGAGCAUGGAGUGGAGCCAGUGGCAUGGCAGGGAUUUGGACUUUAUAUUCUUGACAGCAGGCUUCGAGUUUUUAACCAUAGGCUCCUCACUGGGACACAUUUAUUAGGCAGUCUCAGUGAAUUGAUAGCAAAUAGAUUUUAUUAGACAUUUGUCUUUAUGUAGAACAUGGUUACUGCUGGAAAUCAUUUUUGUGGAAUAUCAGUGGUCUAUUUCCUGGAGGAGAAAGGUCUGGUACUUUAAUGUAAAAUAUUUUUGUGUUCCGAGAGAUGUGUAGUCAAGGCUGAUGCACAGUGAGACUGGACUACAACCAAGACCUUGCGUUGCUGACCUUGUCUUGAUGUGCAACACAAGUUAGCCCAGAACAGGAAGUGAAGUGCUAACCACGCCUUCCUUACGAGAACUAUUUUUUUUUUUUUUGACCUUGAGUUUUCCCCCUGGGUUAAAAACUGUGAAAAGUAAAUCUAGUGCUAGUUGUUGCAAUUGCUAGCCUACGAGUUUGCUUUCUUGUGUUCAUGUUCCUAUUUUUGUCAUUAAAGCAAAGGAAGCCACACAUAGCUAAAGUGAAAGCCACUUCAAGGAGACAUCACAUGAAACAUUUGGAGGAGGGCGUUUAUGUGGUUUUGUUGUAACAUUUUAGAUGCAAAUGUGAAUUGUUUUGAGAUCAGAACUUUUCAUUUACUACUUUUAACCAUUAUCUUACGCCACAUGCUUAGUUAAGGUUAGCUCAAUUGCAGUUUAAAACUGAUUAUUGAAAAGAAAUUGCUGAAGAGAAAAAAGUGAUCCAGAAUUUUAAUGCUUCCAAGUCAGGUGAUUUGAGAAGUUUGUUUCUUGUGUCCAUGAUUGGUGAAUGUAUUUCUGAUCCAGUGAAUCUGCUUUGAACUGGGAAACUUGUAGGAGUUGCAAGUCCUAGACUUAAGUUUCUUAAUAAGAUGGGAUUCAGCACCUACCUGGUCCCUGGGAUUUCAAUCCAAGAGAUGCCAGUUUCCUGGUGGAGCCUCUUAUUUUGCUGUGCUUCUUUGUGAAAAUCUCUGCCUGUGAGAAAAUUUAUGCCCCGCUGGAUCAGCUUGGGUUCAUAUUUUCACUUUCUUCCCCCUGGGGCAUUUUUGUGAAACUUGAUCUUCAGUGUGACUUUCAAAGUUGUUGUUCAUAAAGGUGCUUGUUAACAUAUAGAAGAAAGAUUGAGUGACUUUGACUCUUAAAUGGAAGUACGGCUAGGCUAGGGUGUUUUAUUGACAGUUCUUGUUUGGUUCAUUUAUGUUUAUCCAAAAGUAAGGUCUUCAUGGAUUGAAAAAACAAAAUAUACAACUUUCCUGCUGUGUGUGUUUAUCUUAAUAUUUGAAGCCAGAUCUUGCCUGAAAUAAGCUUUACCUUACAAGGAAAUGGAGAGAUAUAACCAUGCUCAAUGUUUAUUAUUGCAUAGAUAGAUAAUUUAAAUGCUACAAGAUAGAUAAUUUAAAUGCUGACAAGUUUGUAUGAAAAUGAGUAACCAACAAUUAAACCAAAUAACCAACAAAUAAACAAAAUAACCAACAAUUAAAUAUUCCAGUGGAUCUAUGUGUGAACAAGGUUAAUAAAAUAUGCAAGAGACAAGUGUGGAUACUGUUUUUAAAAAUGUGAAUGUGUCUUGAGAAAAUUUUAAAGUAGGAGAUUAGAAUAAAGAGUGCUUCUUGUACGAAUUCCCCUGGAACGUGCAGUUCUGAGCUUCACCGUGCUCCUUCUGUACCUGAUGAGGGAGACUGGUGCACUUGUUUUAUGUUCAGUCUUUAGGAUUUUUCCUCUGGAAGGAAGCAUGCUAGACUCUCACCAGGUAACACACCUGAUUAGAAUUCAGUGGGCGAGAACAGAAGGAAGGUGUCUUAUGCGAUUGUUUCUACAUGUUAUUAAAAGUGGGACUGCACAUCAAUUGUUUCUUUAGGAGGAAAGUAACACCUUGAAGAUAGGCCAGAUCUUCAGACGCAAGACAGCGCUUCUGGAGCUGUUUUGUGUUCACUCACUGUUGUCAGUACUGUGCCUGUCACAUUUAUGUGUAUCAUGACCACAUGGGCAAAAUUGUGCUCUUUGCUCGUCCUCAAGGUUUCCAACUGUGAGGUUGUGUGGAUAAUCUGAGUCUUCUCCAGGAUGGUGAAAUUAUCACCAAUAAUGUAUAUUUUUAAAUGAUUAUGUAAUUAUGCUGCAGACAAUAAAGGGUACCAUCUGUUCUUGUUUGAAAUAUGUCUUUUGAAAGACAGCUCCUGAAGUGAUACAUUGCUUUUGAUGAUUUGGCCUGUAUUCAAGGUGUUACUUUCCUACUUUCCCUCUGAGCUGCUGUGUCCCUGGCUACUGCUCAAGGAUGUUGGCAAAUGGAAAGUGAGUGGGAAGGAAGUCUGUGUUGCUUGUAGACACCGCAAGAGUGUGUAGCAAUCAGAAGGGUAUUUGUCUCUGGGCUGUCCUCCUUUGCUUGUGUUGUCACGCUGCUAGCCACCUUGAGCAUCUGUCUCAGGAUGUGGCACUGCAGACCUUGUCGCUGUUUCUGGUGGAAUCUGGUGCAGAGUGUCAGUGUCAGGGCAGGGCAAUGGAAAGAACUGAGAUGGCGUAAUAACGGUGCAUCCGCUUUAAUCUUCAAGUAUUCCUAUUUGGGGAGUACUUUAACUCUUCUUACUGUCCUUACUUUGGACUCAUCUGGGUUAAAGUUAAGUUUAUCUUUAUAAAGUGACCUGUUUGGUGUCAGGAGUUUUCAAACUUGCUAUUUUCUAUAAUCUGCAAGGUGGUCCUGUGAGGUGGUUAAGGUGGAAACCCACUUUGAGGUCUGUGAUUUGGAGAGGUUCCUUUGCUUGUGACUCAGCCAACAAGUGGUGUAGCUAGGAUUCCAAAACAAAACUGAAGAUUUAUUUCGGAAAGUUUCAAAUAGACAUAUAAGUUAUCAGAAGAGGAUGGUCAGCCCUGUGUACUUACCCACAGGGUAAUUAUGGAGAUUUUACUACAUUACCUUUGUGCUUUUUUAUUCUUGUUUGUGGCAAUAUUUUAAAGCAGAUCUGAUAUGUUAUCAAAUAUACAGAUUUUGUUGAUGUGGCUAACGUUUUAUCUCACAUGAAAUGGUCUAAAUAUAGGAGAAUGACAUAGGCGACUGAAGAUAGAAGCCAUAUUUUUUAAAAAGAAAUGUCUAUCUGUGUUCAGUUUUCUUGAUAGCUACAUCUUAUUUAGUACACUGGUUGAUAAACUAGUGAUGGACUAGCUGGUACUUACACAAUAUUUACCUUGCCUGGAGCAGUCUGCAUGCAUUUGAGUUUCUCAGUUUACUUUCUCUGAUCAUUUCUAGAGGGUUCAAUUUGCUUUCCCAAAAUUGGUUGUCUCUUUUACAUAAGCAAAACAUAGUGUACAGUGCCUUGCAUCCUAUUGUCUUUUGCACUUUUUCACAGUAGAUGCAGCAUUGUCUUGGAGCAUGUACAGGGCUAACUAACCCUAACUCCUGGCUGUACCUCCACGUUUGGAGUCAGGCUCUGCAUCUAAGUACGAUCCUCAGGUAACCUGUGUGUUCAUUACAGUUUAAGAAGCUCAGGAUGAUGUUUAAACUAUGCCUCACAAGCGCAGCUGUAUAUUAUGGUCAUCUGGAAAACUUCUAAAGCCGCCUGUGCGAGAUCCUAGCCCAGGCCAACUGAAGCGCACUCUUCGCUGGGGCUCCAGCAGCAUGUUUUUGUUUUUUCCCCAUAUUAUUUUUUCUAAUGAGACCCAGAGUUGACAUUAAAAAAAAAAAAAAAUAGUCUCCCUGGUAACACUGCAUCUGAACACAAUGUCUCCUUUGGAAAGUGCAUCCUGAAACUGUUGCUGCUAAGAACUGGAGACACAGGAAUCCGUGGACUUGUCCUCAGCCAUCUUGCUGAUGGUGAUUGGUGAUAGUGCACACAAUAAUCCCUUUUCAUGCACCGCUGAGCUUCACUUGUCAUCUUCCCUGGCAUUGUGGAAUGGAAACGAUGCCCAGAUUUAUGGGCUACUUCUUAUUUUAUUUAUUCUUUGCUUCAGAUGAAAAAUUACUGAGUGGGGCAGGCAUUAUGGAAUACCAAAUGCACAAACAUUGGACCAAGUAUUGUUAAAAAUAAAUUCACAGAAUCAUACUUCUCACUGAGCUACAUCUCUGGCUCUUUUAAAAAUCUUUUUAACCACAACCACUGUGAAAGUCAGUAUGGAGAUCCUCAAAAGACUAACACUAGAAAUUCCAUUGAACUCAGCUAUUCUGCUUCUAGAUAUUUUCCCAGAAGAGUUAAAGACAUCAUGUUACAUGUGUGCCCAUGUUUAUACUGCACAACUCAUAGGAGCUAACCCUCAGAAGUGGCCUAUACAUGCACUGACAGAUGAAUGGAUAAAGAAUUUGCUUUUUGCACACAGUGGAGUACUAGUCUGCCAUAAAGAGAAACUUGAGUCAUUUAUAGGAACAUAAAUGUACCUCGACACCAUAAUGUCAGAUGAAGUAAAUCAGACACACAAGGUUAAGCAUUGCAUGGUUUUCUUCUGAGAGGAAUCCCAUGAGUUAAAAUAAAAUAACGGGAGUGAGGUAUGGAGGGAGAUGUUUCGCAAAUGGGAAGGGGAUCACGAAGUGGAAGGAGAAAGGAAGGGGAUGAGAAAAGGAACGAUGGUGUCCUGGUACAGCACCAACUGCCCAUGAGGCAUGUUAGCAUGGUGCGCUGCACACAGCGCCUAAUAAAUUAAAAGGGGAUGGCAGUCGUAGUCAGUUCUGCCUUCAGUUCCAGGCAGAUACGUUGUUUAUUGGGCUGAGAGGGCGCUCAGCUGAAGAAGGAAGUAGCUUGAGGACACGCGGGACCGGCAGGCGUGCCGAGCUCGGGAGCUGCGUGUCCUGAAGUGCCCGGUGUUCUGCAGUUUAGACUGGGCCACCGGCGUGGGUCCUCACCGGCCCUGUGUACUGUGGGACCAGGACUGGUUUACGAGGGGCCUUGGGUUUCUUACCUGCAGGACAGCACUCUCCCCUGGACCUGCAGUGGGGAGCAAAUGAACUUAUACAUGAAGGUGCUUAGAUGACUGCCUGGCCAUGGCGAAUGCUAACUCAGUAUUUUCUGAUACUGUUGCUGUUGAGAAAAGAUGGCAUGUGUGGAAGGACAGGCUUUAAUGACAGAGGGAUGGUUCAGUGGGUUCAGAGAGGGUUUUUGCUUGGGAAAUGGAAUUGCUGAUGUGAGUGAGGGCGCAGGUGGGGGGAAGGUGUGCCGAUGCCAGCUCGGUUUCUCCAGUGUUUUUUUUUUUUUUUUUUUUUUUUUUUUUUAACUUGUCCUGGUCAUCUUUUACUGUUGAUUCUCCCUUAAUCUGUGAGCCGUGAUGAAGCUGUUCACAGAAGGAAGCGGAAUGAGGCAGUUGCACUUCAGAGUGCAGAGUGUGCCCUCUACACCAGCCCCUGCUCAGUGCUACUUUGUGGCGGCUCAUGUUUGAGUUCCUUGAAGGAAAGGCAGUGGCCCACAGAGCACAGAGGCCGCCAGCACCAUCUUAAGCCCAGUGAUGCCCCCUUUUUUCACGUUGAUGAACGUAUUGUAAUACCGGUAGUGACUUCUGUGAAGUGCUUCAGGGCUGCCUGUAGGGGUGAAAUCCUGCAUCAGUCUCCAGCCGGGCAGCUCCCCUAGUUUCACAUCCAAGAGCUUCUUCUCUUUCCCUGGUGUGACAGACCCAUUUUGUAGUCCUUCUGUCCCUCCAGGUUCUUUACAUUCCCUGUGGAAGAGGCAGUGGAGAAACCUAAAUUCAGUCUUUAAAAUAAUGCCUGUCCCAAAGCUCUGUAGUCUUGUGAUGGAUUUGUUUUAAGGCCAUUCAGCAGAUGAGUUGCGCCUUACAGUUUUGUUUGAGGAGCAGCUGCAGAUAUUUCAGCUCGGGUGUGGGGGAAGUAGAUCAGACAGUUGGGGGCCAGUAAGGGAGGCCUGCAGCCUGGGCGGCCUUUGCCUGUGACUUCCUUCCUGGAAGAUGACAUUGUGCUGGAAAUGCAAGAUUCUAGAGUUGCAGCGAAACAGUGCCUGUCCUCUCUUUACCGUUUUUGGUGCUUUCAUUAAAUCCAUUUUAUGUGAUAUUUAUGUGCACAGAUACAUAUUAUGAAAAUAUAAUAGCAACUUUUAAUAUCCUUCAUCAAUAAAAUAUUUUUAUAUGCACUCUUUUACUUGUUUCUCUGAAGAUAUAUCAGCUGAAUAUCUUACUCUCUUAUCCCCAUGCUCUUAGCUUGCUCAGGCUAUUCUAACAGAACUACCAUCGACUGGAUACCUUAUAAGCCACAGAGAUGUGUUUCUCAUGGCUCUGGAUCAGAAGUCAGCAGACUGGGGGUGCUGUCUGGACCUGCUCAUCCUGCCCUCAGAUGUGGAAGGGACUGAGGGGUCUCCUAGCCUUUUUUGUAAGGAUGGUUGCUGAACCCAUGAAGGCCUCACACCAACAUAGCAUAGAGAUUUUAGGAAGAUGCAAACAUUCAGUAGUGGUUCGCAUGCAUUUUGGGAGAGGCUGCGAGAUAUUUUUUUUUUAAUGGGCAAGAUUAGGCCUGUUUGUAUUAGAAUAGAACAACAUGCUACAUGAAGAGUGUGACUGUUGUUUGCUUAACAUUUAACUAGGAGGCCUGAAUAUGUUCAAAAGUGCUCAUUUGACAAGGAUCCUGGGGCUGCAGUGGUGAAGGACAAAUGAAACAGAUUUUCUCUUCUUCCUUGCUUAGGGCUGCAGGAAGACUGGCCUUCUGCAAGGGAGAUGACUAUAAAUGGUCUUUGCAGCUGAGAUGCCUCUGAGGCCAGGACCACUUCCAGAGGCUUGGCUUUCCUCUUUCUUCAGAGUCAUGCUGUGAGCAGCACCUUUCUUUUGGCACUUGAACCCUGCUCACUCAACUCUUCUAUUUUUGCACAAAAUUAGAUUUUCCUCAGACUUGUCCAGUUGAAGCUUUGUGGUGUGUGGUACAGCCUGGUUCCCCUUUGCUUUUCCCGUCUUCUAGACCUGUGCACUGAUACUUGCUGUCUUUGGAGGUUUCCUUAUUUUAUGCCAGAAGACAGAAGAAUGUUCCUGUUCCUUGGUUCUUUCAUAGAUGGCGUAUUUGUCUGGAAGAAAAUUAAAAGACAGAAAAUUAAACAAAAACUCUUGUCAUCAGGAAAGGUGGUGUGACAGUCAGUCUUGUGGGCUCUGUGAUCUCUGCUAAUAUUUUUUCUUAUUAAUAUGUUUUUAAACCUCUAGGAAAAGAAUUGCUUUCCCUUGUUUUAAUGAAGUAGUAAUGUAUUCUAAGGUACACAAUAUUACAUUGUUCUCGUGCUUAUUUUUUCAAAUAGAUGUGGCUUACUGAAUUGUGUCGUUUUUUUCUGUAAAUGAUGAAACUCUGUAAGUCAGUUGUACCAACCCCCCUACUUUGUAUUUCAGAGUUAAUAAUUCAUAAAGAAUGUACACGAAGAGGUAAGCAUCUCUUUUUCAGUCUGAUGUUCUGGACUUUGUUCAUAAGUACUGUGUUACUACUUGUAGAAUACAGGAAGGAAACCGAAUUACAGUUCUGGGUCAUGGAGAUCACUGGUGGGUGUAGAUGCACAAGUCAUGUCUAUUGUGUUAGAUGGCAGAAGACAGUGCCGAUGCAGCAGGCUCUCCUGUGAGUGAAUUAAAGUGCAUGACACGGAUCUGGGCUUCAGCGCAUUGCAUACAGUGUGUUCCCCCACUGUGUCUCCUGGAACCUUUCUGGUAGUUGGCCUUACAGCUUGGCAGGGUCCUCCCAGGCCCGAGGUUCAGAGGGCUUCUCACCAGAGGCCUUAGUGAUCCUGAUCUGGCCCUGUAGGAACCCUGGUUCUCCCUCCUACAGAUGGGCCGUGUCUGCUUUUGGAGCAAGCCUGUGCUCCUGUGCUCAGGCCAGGCUGAUUAUCGGUGAGAACACUGCUUGUUGAGCUCAAAGUUAGGAUGAAGAGGAGCUGUGGAGCUGGGGGUACACCAUGUUUUGGUUAAGCUCCACAGCUGUAGGAGUCGUUCCUUGGACAGAAAGGUUAUUUCUUUUCACAAGCCACAGUCAGUCGCCUGGAAUCCAAGUGCCUUCGUGCUAGGAAUUCUGUACAUAACAUGGAUGCGCACAUACGCGCACGCACACUCCUCUGUGACUUCCACAAUGGGGAGGUGUCCCUCCUGUAAACCUCUCACAGAGUGAAAUUAUUGCAAGUGGAGAGCGUGCUUCACACAUGUAACGUGGAACAGGUAACAUGCUGGACCUCACAGCUCAGUAGUGUGGUUCAUUUAGAGCUUUGGCUGUUUUCCUCAUCACUGUCCUGCUCAGUAUCAGAAGAGUCACCUGUCACUGGCCAGGAAAGGUCAGAAUUCAGAUGGGAAGCAAAGGUCUGCACAUACGCCCUUCAGCAGACAGUGGGUGUCGUGAGUAGGAGAGUCCAAGGCUGUGCCCUUGUGGCCGGGUCCUUCUACAAAGGUCAUCCAAACUCUUCCUGGGCUGGGCCGGGGCCGUUUUAACAUGGGCUUCUUUUAGCACAUAGAUUACAUUAAUAACAGCACAACAUGCCAGUGAACAAUUGAGCUUUACUUGGUCACAUUCGUGGGAGCUGUUUUUGGGCAGAGAAUGUCACUCUCAUGCUCACGCAGCACCUCCCAUGUAAAUUACAAUCAAAUUUGAGAAAGGCUGCUUCUAAAAUAUUAUUAAUUGCAAUGCAUGCCAUUGUUUUUGUACGAUGGAGUAGAGUUUCUGAUUUUCCUCUUAGAGUUACUGACUUUAAUAAACUGGCUGAUUGUAUAUUCCUGAGUCUUGGAGAACCUGGAGAUGGGGCAGGGCAGGUUGGCAGAAGUGUCCAUGUCCUCAGUGUCUCAGCUUCUGUGCCCAUCUGUCCCAGGAGGCGGCUGUUCUUUCCCUUGAGUGAAGAAACUGGAGCCCCGUGGCUCAUGAACCUGAUCCUGGGCACAUAUGGUACAUAAAAUAAAUGAGACUUAGAGUUUCCACUUAGUCUGCACUGUGAGUCUUGGGAGCCUGUUUAUUUGUAUUUAAUACAGGCCAUGGAUAUACAUUUACUCCUUUAAACAAGUUUCAGUAAUCGAUAGUACGACACUCUGUGUACUGAAAUCACUUCCAGAAUACUCCUAGUGGUGCUGAAGUCAAGUUUUUCCACUACUUAAAGGCUUUUUCCGUGCCUCGUUCCUUGCUGAGAGGAUGUGCUGUUGACAUUACGCGCUGCCGCUGGUUUCCUGCUGUCCUCUCUGCGGCCCCUUCCAAGCCGUCAUGGCUGUAUCAGGGUGCGCUGUGUUGCCUUCACUGGGCAGCGUGGCUUGCUUUGUGCACCUCUUGGGUACAUGAAUUUGACUGGUAUGAGUGACUUGCAGCUCUAGAAUGUGCUGGGACCCUGCGGCUCUCAGUGCUUGCGAUGAGAGGGUGAGCCUCAGUGGGCUCCUUGCAGAUGCCGCACUUUUUCUUGGGAUGUGCAGAUACCCAGCAGAAAAAUGCUUUCAGUUACUUUUAUGCAGUCGACUAGCAGUUUUUAAAAAGUGAUUAUGUAAUUUGUUCCUCAUUAUUUUUGGGGAGACUCAGAACUUUCUCUUCUGUUGUUCAUUUUCAAAGACCAGUGUGCAUUUGCAGACUGGUAUAAUUGUGAAAGAGAAUUUUUUAAACAGUCAGUAGCUUGUGAGAGAUUCUUUCAGUAGGUGCCUGCUUUUCACAUGAUUUUACUCUCUUCAUUAUGCGUGCAUUUACUUCCAGUUAAAGAUCUUAAAGUUUUAGUUGAGGGGUUGAUUGUUCAGCACAAGUGGACUUAGGGUACCUGGAGAGGCGUGGAACCCUGUGCAGGGUGACUGCUUAAAGCUGCAGUUUUAAGAAGAUGCCCUGGCUUGCAGGUUAAGGGUUUAGGACUGGCUAACUAAGGAUGACCUCUGCCUCUCAGAAGUUCGCCUGGAGUCCGAAUGUCUCCUUAAUGAAGGGCCGUUUGCCUGUCACUUGUGUGAUUUCUUCCAAAGCUGUUUCUCUGUGUUUUCUCUCAUGAGAAAGACAGGCAUGUCUACUUUGAAAUUUUGUGGUUGGAGUUCCUAAAGUGUUCUAUAAAUUAAUUUAAGGUGAAUAUUUGGUGUAAGGGUUUUUUUGAGACUAGAUCUUUAUGAACUAUUGCAAGUUAAUAUAAUAUUAUAUUUUUUGAGAUAGAAUCUCGCUGUAUAGUUCAGGCUGGCCUUGAAGUUGCUAUGUAGUCCAGGCUGGCCUCCUCACAGUAGUCCUCCUGUCUCAGCCUCAUGAGUGUUGCGUUUACAGACAUACACCACCAUGCCCAGGUUGAACCUCUGUUUUAAAAACCCAGACCCACAAGCUGGGGAUGGAGCUCAUGGAUAAAGCAUGAACUUAGCAUGUGCACAGCCCUAGGCUCCUGGCAGCAAGGAGAAGACACAGACCCAGUGUGUGAAGUGCGGAGGCUGCCACGUGUAGUUAUAUUUGCAAAUCACUUUGAUGAGGACUACACAGACUGUUUUUUCCAACGUGAACCUCAAGAAUAAUACUUACUGAGUUGCACGUUUCGGAUGCUAUUCUAUCCUGGGCUUUUCACAAUAGUUCACUUACUGCCUAGACUGCUCUAAGAGGUUACCACUGUUGUCCCUGUUUUAUAGAGAGAGCCUAGGUCCCACGUAAGUCCCUGGAGUUGAUUUCCAUGGGAUUGCCCUCCUGUUGCUUGACUGUCCCAUCUGGGAGCCCUUUCCAGCUUCCCAGGGCACCCAGCAUCCUUCUGCUUUACUGCAGUCCUCAGAAGGAGGAACCACAUCAGCUGUGCUCUCAGGUGGUCAGUCUUGGCCCCCAAUCAAUCUCUGUGUCUCUCAUAUGCACACGCACAAGGACCUUCAGUUUCCGUCAUGGUAAAGGGAUGUGAUUUCUGCUGAUUCAGUCUGCAGCCAGGAGGGUCAGGCUCUUCCUCACAGGCUCCCUGUGAUUGUCAGAGACCCCAGGUGGAUGAGUGCCUGCUCCUCACAGGCUUACUGAAUCCCUGCUUUGGGGUGCCACCCAGUGUCAGGAGCAGGGUGGGUGAGGAAAGUGGGAGCUGGCAGAUGGCCUGGGUCACCCCUCACAGUGCUGAGCUGCUUUUCUAGGCUUUGACCCUCAGUAGGUGCGCUCCAAAGGAGAAGGGUUCUUGGGAUCAGUUCCUUGCAUUUUGCCUUUGUUCAUCAAUCAGCUGAAGUGGAUGUUUUUGAUUAUUUUGACCCUUGUAUUCACAGCCAUUAACAAAUGUAAUAGUUUAAAAAUAUCCAAACAAUGUAUAUCUUAUAUUAUCUUACUUAUACUUAAAAUCUUGUUAACUAAAAAGCCACAGUAGACAUUUGCUUAUAAGAAAUCACGCUGUUUUCUAGGAAGUUUUAGCCUAUUUAUUUAUUUUUGGUCAGUUGAUCUACAGUAUCUCUCUGUAGAUCAGGCUGGCCUCAACCUCACUGUGUAGCCGAGGCUGGCAUUGAACUCACCACUGCCUUGAACUAGUGGUACCCUUCUGUAUCAGCCUGCAGAGUGCGGGGAUUGCAGGGCCAGCUUUCAGUCAGUUCAGUGGGACUCUGAAGCAGAUAUCUGUGCAGUGGGAAUGGCUGGUGAUUCUGAAGACAUUAGCCCUGGAGUCUCACCACAUGGGUCACAGUCCCCAUGUGCUCUCGGUGGGGCUGACAGGAAAGGCAGUGGCCAGCAUUUCUCACAACUCAACACAGAACACCUGCAGAGAAGAGAAGUGGUACUGCUCUUCCUGACUGGCAUGUGUGCGAAUAUCUGUUCUUCUCCUGGGAAUGUUCGCAUGUGCUUUCAGGAAAAUCCACUUUGAAGGCUGGUCAGGGUGCUCUUUGAGGUGACAACAUCACACUGCGGUGUGUACUUCCACCAUUUUCCCGGACCUGUGUGUGUGCACAGCUGUGUCAUGCACACUUCGUCCCUGUGCCUGUUGUCCUGUGUGCCUUCUGCUCUGCACUUGCAGUACUGAUGCAUGCUUUACAAUUGAUCAUUAAAUUGAUAAUUAGAGAUGUUUGAAUUUCCUUGGUGAAUGACUGUACAGCUUAAUUUUUCCAAAUGAUGUUUUACUGAUGGAGCUAUUUUGAUUAACUUUUAAAAAGUUUUUAUAGAACAAUACAUUAACAAAAAUGAAUGACCACUCAGCUGAUUUAUCAGUGAAAGUAAUUCACAAGUGUUAGUUUUUUAAGAAAGUAAAAAUAGGAUUCUAAAUAUUUUGUUUGCUCCUAGUACUUUGCUUUUAUAUCCUUAGUUAAAAUCUCUUCUCCCAGGUGAAUUUUUCUAACUUUUUCACCACAAAACAAUGUCCAGAAAGUUCUGGCUUCAUGUCUUACACUAUGUCAUUCAGUGUGUAGUUGAUGAUUACAGUGUCAGUGAAAUGGGACUAGGUGUGAAGAUCCAUUUUAUGUAAUUGCUAUGUGUGCAUUAUGUAAUAAAGUAUGCUACAUGAAUGUGCAUUCUGUGUGUGUUCAGUUCAGAUCCAAGUACAUGAGUCUUUUUAUGCUUUUAUAAUACUUUUUAUCAUCCAGAUUGUUUUCACAACUGCUUGUAACUGAGUGAAGUACCUGUGUCAUCUACCUAGAAAACAACUUGGCGGAAAAUAAGCCUUGUUAAGUGCCAUGGUUCUGUUUAAAUGAUGUAUUAAUGUAAAGUAGGAAGUGGUGGAGAAGUGAAUCUGAAUAACUUGUAAAUGGGUUUUCUCCAUAACUUCUGGAGGGGAAAGAGAGAAAUUCACAGGGAAAUGGUCAGCUGCAGCCCACACUUCAUCUUCAGAAGACCUGAAGCAUUCCGAGCCCACGGCAUGUCAGUCUGGUGCCAGACAGCAGCAGAACUCAAGGGGAGGAGAAGCCGGGACACAGUCUGUGACUGCAGGAACUUACCACAUUUUUAUGAUUUUUAAAUACCUCAUUAGGUAAAUAAGAUUAAUACUCCUGAGCUGAUAGGGCUGGUUGUAAAGAUUAAAUUAGGUAAUAAAAAGAAUGGGCUCAAUGUCUUUUCACAAAGGAGAUGCUCAAUGGCUUUAAUUCUCUUGCUCCAGAGACCAAGAGAAGCAACGUGAAGGAAUACAGUAGAAGAACACAAUUGAAUAUGUGGGCUGUGUUUUCAUAGACUUAAAAAACAUUAAGUGCUCUCCCAAAAUUAAAGCUGUAUUUAUAGUCAUGGGUAGAUAAAUCUUGAAAUGAUGCAUUGUCCAUUGCAUUGCUGUGAUUAUUAACGUAAGUGAGAAUUAACUAACUCUUGACUUUUUAAAUUAGUCUCCUAGCAUAGAGGUUAUAUUUUUCAUAAUUUUAGUGUUUGUUUCAAAAAUAUUUUAGUAUUUUUUAUUGUCCCAUUUCAUGUUAAUUAUAUUUUCUACAUACAUCUUUAAGAUCACGAAUUUCAAAUGAUAGUCCCUUUUAAAUAUAUUAAUUUAACUAAUUCUUGUCUUGCCAAGUAAACCCAGAAGUUUUUAAAAAAUUUGAACAAGAUCUUUAAAUCAGAAAACAUUUAUACACUACUUUCACUUUACUAGGUUUGGUCACAGAUUUUACUAUUUGAAAGCAAUUUUUUUUCCCAGCAAUUUUUAAAAUUGAUGUCAUAAUUUUUUUUGUAAUAUUAAUUUUCAAACCAAACUUUUAACAUGGAGUAUAUAAUUUAGUUUUUCUGUUCUUUACACAAGUACCAUGUUUUUUCGCAAAAUAUUUGAGUGCAUAUACGGCCAUAUUGAUAAUUUUUGUGAGCUGAAAUGAUCAUUAUUAAAAUAGAACAUAAUAAUAAUUGGCUAGUGAGAAAUAAUUUUUUAAAAAAUUUUAAGUCUUUCCGUUUUUUUGCAGCUUUGUGCUAAUGGUAGGCAUUUAAAAUAUCUUGGCAGUGAAGAACAUACUUCUGUGUAGACAAACAGGAAUUUUAAUCAUGGGCAGUGUUUCUUUUAUUAAUGUGAAUGUAAUGAUGAGUAUCUCUGGAGUUCGCAGUACAACUGGCAUAGUUGAACUGAAGUGUUAGGUAAGGUAAUAAUGGGCUGAGUUUUCUUAAUUUACGUAGCUAAGCAGUAUUUUAUAUCCCGGUCUUUUCAUAGGAAAUGUUUUAUCAAGCUGUCUAGGACAUAAAUAAUUAAAGUAUUUGACUCAUUAGGAUAACUUGAUAAAUAUAUGCUUUCUUUUAAAAGUUGGGCAACAUGUAGCUUUUUAUUAUUAAGUCAGUGUUGGAAUGUUCUCGAGAACAAGCCACUGAAUUCAUUGUUCUAGGCCUGGCUAUCUCUGGGUUCUGACAGCUAACUAUGCUCCUGUAGGCUACAAAGAGAAUUGGCAUGCAGAAUCAAGUCAGUUCGUAUGCAGGUACAGCUUAAUUUCUUUUUAAAAAAUGUACAAUUGGAAUUUUCCAAGGCCCUUACUAGAGAGAAAAAGAUAUAUUUGUAUAUAUUAUUCUCCCACACAUACAGUAUACUUGGUUAUGGUUUUAGAACAUGGGCUGUGGGCUCUGAUGUCCCUGACUCCUGAACCUUUGGAGUUCAGAUGUUCAUAAAAACUUGCAUCACAACAUAGCUGCUUGAGAUGCGUGGCUACUCCCACUUGUAAAUAAUCUCAGUCCUCAUAUUCCAUUAUUUAUGGCCCAUUGUCAUGUAGGAAGCUCCUUCAUUUAUAACAUCUCCAGGAAUAAAGCCCCUUCCAGCUGGGAGCCACAGGAAGCACCAAGACCAUCUUGGUGUGCAGCAUCAUCUCCCUUUCUCUGCCUUCAGCCUUAUGAAUCAUAGAUCACAGGGCCUUGUUCUCAAAGCAUAGAUAGGGAGCCGAGGAAGGAGAGCUGGGGCGCGGGGCUGGAAACUGCACACUCUGGAUGCCUCAUUCUGGGCAACGACUCUGCACGUGUGCACACUUAAUCUCAGGUGUGUAUGUGUAUACAUUUCAUAUUGGAGGAAGAGACUUUAUUAGCACAAUGAAAUGCUUUGUGAGUCCAAAAUAACUGGCUAAUACAUUUAAAAAUAAUUCUGGAUAUUACAGUAAAGGGGAUUUGUGAACAGUCAAGUACUCAACAUUGUAAGCAAGUCUACUGGGUGUUUUGCAGAAAGGUGCCAACACAAUUACUAGCAUCAGACUUUCAAUUUUUCCUUUCCAUUUCUAAAAUCUAGCAUUAAUUCAGCUCAGGUAUAUUUAUUGUGGGGAAAAAUAGUUUUUGUACGAAGUCCUAUUUGCAUAGCCUGAAGAUUUUUGUAAGUGCAGUGUGCAUAAAAAUCAUGAUAAAGCUUGAUAAAUUUUAGUUUCACAUUCCAGGCCAGACUUCUGGUGCAGGAAUUUUGAAGAGCAUCAGCUGAAGUCUGUAACACACAGGCACGCAUCAUUUCAAGAUGUGUUUAGUUGUUUUGCCACACACCCAGUAGAUGAAAAGGCUAAACAAUGUGUAAGAUGUAAUUAAAGAAUUCUCCCGGACUGCUCAGUUGUAACUGUGUUUUCCUUAUCAUUGCUUUUGGAUAACAGAUUACGUAGAUUCAUAGUGAGGAUUCCCAUCCUGAAGUGGCAGGUUUUGCAGUUCUAACUUAAGAUUGAAUUGUAGUGUACAUGGAACUUUAGAAAAAGAAGAGUUAUCCCCAAAAGAGCAGUGAAUACUUGGCAACUCUGAUCUGUGGAGAAGCCCUGAACACUGUGUCUGACUGGAGAAGCUUCCCGACCCAGUGCCCACUGCCCUGAGCCUCCCGUGGGGUUGGGAAUGUAAGGGAAGGUGUCUGCCAAGAGAGAGUUUUAUAGGUGACCAUCGACUAGCUGUUUAAUCUUUGGACCAUAUGACCAGAUACAUUUACAGUCUAAAGACAGUACUCAUUCUUUCUGUACUUCGGUGACUGGGCUGAAGAGAACAUCUUCAGGAAGUUAGUUGCUCUGUCUGUGUGAAUCGGGCUUUGACACAUGAAGCCUCUCUUUCAGCAGAUGUGUCAGCUCUGAGGACACGCCCCAGUUUGCUAGGUUUCUGUGGCCAAACUGCAGUCUCAGAAUCUUUUCUCAGAGGCAGAGCUCCAAAUGCUGGUAGUGUGUCAGUGACUCACUCUCAUCUUCAUGCAUUCUGUGCCCAAGUUCCUGGGGACCAGGAAAGGCAAGGCUGUCACCUCCCACAGGGACCUGUACAGGGUCACGCAGGGUGGAUGCUGUGUUGCUGUCUGUCAGUGUAGCCAUCUCCUCACCAGGUGUGGGUGCCAGUCUGAGUGCCUCAUCGAGACAGCGGACUCCACCUCAGAGCCCAUGGUGCAGGGAGCUCAAGCUCUUUGACUGGGCGGCAUCACUCGGUGUUAGAUGGCACUGACAUCAGAGGUACUUACCAGCGUGGGCCUGAAGAAGAGGUGUUGCAUUGAUCCUGUGCAGGUGUUCUGACCUUAGCCAGCUGGGCUCCAGAAAGCGCUGUGUUGUGCCCUGGCUGUGCUCUGUGGCCGGCCGUGGACUCUUAAUUGUUUCGCUUAUCUGUGUAUAAUGUUUGCUUCUUAACUGAGGCAGCUGCGAUAACUAAAGUAGAAGUGAAAGCAGAAGACACCUUGUCAGACCUAGUGGCUUCUCUGAGGUAAGGAGGUGGCACUUGGUUUCUUCUGGCAGUGCUUUGAUGUGUCCCUUGCAAACCUCCCUGAAGCCCUGUUUCUUAUGCAAGGAGGGUCAUGCCUCACGAGUUCCCAAGGUGCAGUUCAGUUAAUGAUAGCCGAGCAGUUCUGAAAACCCUUCUUUGGCAAGGAAACUGAGCGGUGCCAUUCCAGGGGUGGCAGGGAGAGUUCACCUCCUUGCACUGAGGAGUCCUUGCUUUGUCUCUGGUAUGGGGGAGGGGGACAGUGCUCCUCACUGCUGAAGGAAAAUGUUCUUUUCACAGCGGGCAGCAUUAACAAUUUCCACUUGCAAAUAUCUGAUUGCAGAUGAGACCCAUUACUUAAAUGUACCUUUCUUGCAAAUGGUAUCCUCUCGAAGCACUGUGUAAAGCUUUCAAAUUAACUGGUAUAAUUGGUAUAAAGUUCUAAGUACUGAAUAAACUAUGCAUUUCCAUCACUUCAGAUUCUCUGAGCAAAUGAUCUUUUUUGUGAGUCAAAAAACACUUAGAAAACUGUUUGUUAGGCUAAAUGUAUUUGUUGUAUAUAAUGUGUAGAUUAUUAAAACACUUUUACCAUGACAUGACACAAGAAGGGAUGAAAAACUUCAUUGAUUCUUUCUACGCCUCCUUAAAUAACUUCCACUUUUAAAGUACAAAGAUUGUCACAAAUGAUUUCAUUCUGAAGCUGCCCUCAAAUACAAAAGUUUGCUAUUACAAGUUUCAUUUUAUCUUGCUUGAAUUCUGUCAACAUUUAGUUUUUAUAUGAAAGAAGAAUGGUCCUUAGAAUUUCUCCUCCAUAUUUUUCUAGGCUUUUUCAUUAUUAGCCUGGUCCAAUUAAGGCAAAUACUAUAAUUCACAUCUUAAAUAUUUGUUGCUUUUCUGGAAAGCUUCAGUUAUGCUUAGAAGUAGCCAUUGCGUUCAUCCCUGUGUUCUCCCUCUGGCAGCAGUAGCUCUGGGGUUGCCUGUGUGCUUGUCCAGAGUUGUGGAGGAAGUGCUUUUUAUCUCUUUUGAAACACAUGACUAAAAACAUUAGAGGAUGAGAGGAAGAAAUACUCACACCUUUUAUGGUCUCAAAUGGGUUUCAGCUUUAGCAUUCACUGAGCAAACAGCUCCCCUAUUGAGAAGCAGACAGCUUUCUCCUCUUGAAGCCCAGGAACGCUUUCUGGUCCUUCCAAGCCACUGGCAUCAUCUGCCCUGAUUUUAGAUAAGCAAAAUAAAAUAAACAGACUCAUGGCCACUUGGGAACUGGUUCUGCUGCCUCUUGUUCUAACCCUGCGAAGCCAAGCCAGCAUGUCUCCCAGGGCCUCUGAAAGAUCUCAUUGUUGAUUUACUGUGCUGCUGGCCGUGCCCACGGCUUCACCCUGCUCCACCAUCGCUCACUGCAUCGUGAGUUGGCACAGCCACCGCCUCAAGGGUCCAGUGUCUCCCUUAACUUGGGCCCAACUGGCCUGUUUCAAGUUCUGCAGUCUUAAGAAUUAUUGUACGUAAAAAUAAGGGACGCUUAUUAGAGAUUUUUUGAAUAUGUUUUCCAUGUAAAGUGUAAGAUGAUGGAAGAAAUGUUGCUGUCUUAUUCUUUUAUUUUUGCAUUCGUAAAAUGAAAUAAGUAUAGAGUGAAGGACUUGUAGAUUAACUUAGUAGUACUAAAUUUUUAGUUAAGGCCUAUUAGAUAUGUGAGUGUAUAUAUUGUUCUUCAGUUUUGAACAUAAUUCUGUUAAAAUUGUAACACAGAAUUAGGGAAUUGGUAAAACACUUUAGAUGAGCAAAUCUAAACAAUUCGUAGUAUUCCAUGUUCAGAUUUUUAGUGCAUUAAUUUUAGAAAAUAAAUUAUUCUGUCUGUAGAAAUGAAAUUAAAAAUGAAACUCUAAGGAAAUGAAAGGAAUUAAAAUUUACAAACUGAGGAGGAGUAUUGGCACAGAAGUGGGUAUCAUUAGACAUAAUCUAGCAAGAGGUUCUCUAUAUAAUGAGCCUUACCAAGAUGAUAGCACAACGUUUCAAUUAAAUAGGAAAAGCAUGGACCAUUUAGUAUUAUGCUGUGGCUACUGGCCAUAUUUAACACCAUAUAUAGAAAGCAUUCCCGGGUAUUAAAAGUGUAAAUAAAGUUCAAAGACAAUGUAAAUAUAAAUAUUAGUAUACGAGACUGUUAGUAAACUGUCUUGAUGGAGACAUCUUUAUAAGCCUCUGAAAACUGUAAUUUACAAAGCAAUUAACAAAUUUAGUGGCAUAAAAAGUAAGCAUUUUCAGUGUACAAAAGUAACCAUAUGCAAAAGGAGAAAAGACUAGCAGAAAAUACUAACAAAAUUCUCAACAGAUGAGAGGACCACCAUGGAGAGUCAUGUCCAUUUCCAUAAAUGUCCAUCUGGAGUUGUAGAUGGAGAUAUGGAUUCGAACUGCAACAUAGCCUUGACUAACACUCAAGCCACUUUUAAGGUCACUCCCAGUUUUUAGGUGAGACUUGAAUUUGGCCCUGAAAUUUUCAGCUUGACUCCAUGCUUUGUAAAUCUGCUGUAUCGUCUUUAGGGUGGCAGAGUUGCCUUAAUCAUUCUCAGAAGUCUUUGCUGGGAACCAGGGACUUCUGUCUUGUUGAUAGAGGCCAUGUCACCCUAAAGGUGACCUUGCCAGAGUCAAGGGUUCCUAACUCUGUGACAGUGCCUGCCAGGCUAUCCAGGUCUGCAGUGCUAACACCUUUAUGGAUGGUAUAGCAUUGCAGCUUGAGCGUCUCAGAAUGUUAAAGCUGUAGGCCCUACAGAAGAGGAUUCCUUUAAGGGACCUCAUCAAGAUGAUUGGACUGAGACCAAUGCCAGAGAUGAGCCUUCUUUCCAGGAGCUUGAUGGGGAGUAGUUCUGGCAUAAACACAUUAAUAAAUUCAUCUUCUUAAUCUAAGUCAGGGGCUUUCUCCGGUGUUUGUAUAUCUAUCUUACUGUUGCCCUACUGUAUAUGCAACAGAUGUUUCUAAGUCUUGGUUGUCUUUAUCAGUGAAAUGACUAAGGGAUAAAGUAUACUCUUUAGGAGCUACAUAACUUUGCUUUUAGUUUUACAUUACAUUUCUUUGAGGCUGAUAUUUCUUUAGAGUAUUCUGAAAAUUAAAUGGACCAAUUGUUGUAGAAAAUGAAUAUAACCAUUCAUGUGAUUUACCUUAAUUUCAUAAUUACCUAGUGGUUUCAUUUUCAUAUCAAUUUACUCCUUCUCAAAAAGUAACUUUUCUGGGGGAGGAGUGAACAGCAUGUUACUAAGGAUGUACAAAGUAAUAUUCUUCUAAAUGUGCAAAUCAUUGCUUAAAAAUCUUACUGUUACUUGCAGUACUCCUACCUGAGAGUGAGCAUGCUAGUGGCAUUAUUUGGGUCAAGAGCGACCAUAAGUUGGGUAACACUGUUCACUGUCAAUAGGCAGACCAAGUAGUAUCUUGUUACUUGCUGUUAAAUGAGUUAAGGUUUGUAGUUGCAGUAAAUCAUGGACAUUUGAGGACUUGAAUGCUGUUUUGUAUGUCAUGUUUGUAUGCAUAUAUUUAUAUGAGACAUUUUAUAUAUGUAGCACUCAUAAGAGUUUGUGGAAAGUUUUUAUCUUGCUGGCAUUUGAGAUUAUUUUCUUUGUGUUGAAUUCUUUUGAUUUCAAUUACAGACCUAUGAAAUGAUUUAAAAAUAAAAUCUUAGUCUUAAGAUUUCCCUGAAGAUGAGUAUAAUUUUGAUUAAUACUUUUCCCCUUUUCUUCUUAAAUUACCCAUAAGCUCUAGUAGAAACAAUGACAGCACCCAGAAUUACCUACAGGUCCCUCAUUUGGGGUGGUGGAAAUACAGUACAAUGUGGAGUGUGGUGUUGAGACCACCUCUAUAGGAAAUUUUAUGUCCUGUGUCAUAACGUGAUACAAAAUUAACUUAAAAACGGUGACAAAACUGUGCAGUCUUUGUGGGGCUUCUGAUCUCUUCCCUCCUGUCUAUUACCAUCAUGGUUUUGACCUGAUCCAAGUCCUUCUGGUGUCAGAAAAACCCAGGCCAAGACAUUUGACUGCUAGUUGUUGGUCCAAACAGGUUUUCUUUCUUUUUUUUCUUUUGGUUCCAGGGAUUGAACUCAUGACUGCGUGCCUGCAAGGUGGGCUCUUGUGCCACUGAGCUAAAUCCCCAGCCCCAUUACAAGUUUUCGACUAGUGUUUGUGACGCUGUUUUGUAACUUCUCACAUUUCAUUGUGCUACUGUGAUUCACAUUUCCUGGAUACUAAGUAUUUACAUGUGUAGUUGGAUAUCUUGAAUUGUUUGAAUAUGCAUGCAUGCAUGCUAAUUUUUGUAUUUGUUUAAAAAGUUGGCAAUUUUAUUUUUUUGUCCUUAUGACUUAGAUUAUUUGCUUCUCUGAAAUGUGCUAGCAUGCUAGUUACUUGCCUGUUUACUUUGCUUUUUUCCCCCCAUGUAUACUCUUGAUUUUGGAGGGAAGAGACCUCCUUAAAUCAGCUCUGCAGCCCCAGGCCAAGCCUAGAACACACACAGUGUUCCACGUAAGUGUGCUUAAUAAUUCCUUUUAAAGCACCUCUAGGACUCUGGUAUGAUGUUGGUCCUCAGUGGUAGGGAAGACAAUGUAAAUAUAACAUUACUGUCCUCAGGACAAUCACUUAGAUAUAUAGUAAUGGAAAUUAUAAGUGUAUUUACUCACUAUCAAUUAUUAGUGCUUACUAUAUGCUCACACUGUAGUGGAGUAUCAAGAGUAUAAAAGACAAGGACCCUUUCAGUAUUUCAACGAAAUAGGAUGGAAUUAUAAAAUUGUGACAUAAAAUUUGUGAAUAUUUAUUUGAGUGACUCGGAUUCAUUUCCUGUGUUGGUUUGAAGAUCCUUGCUACGUGGUGGAGUUGACAACCCAUUAUUAUAGAUGAAGUGAAGAGGGGUUUGCCUCUGUCUGUUUCGCAGGGGACUCUGAGUUGUUGCUCCUGCAGGAUGCUGAGUCUGUCUAGGGCCAAGCAUGUCUUUCAGACCCAGUGGAGGUGCCGACCUGGGCGGCACUCUGGAUAGCAGUCACUUAGUAGAGUCGCUCUUGCCUAGGGAAACCCCAGUAAGACUGUGCAGCUGACCCACUGAGGUGGGCAGAGCCAGGGAUCUGAGUCUUGGCCCCCUGCUUUCUUUAAGCUGCUCACUUUGCAGAGCAAGGAGAGAAAAGUAGACAGCUCCUGGUUCAAACAGAAGGGGCAUUAGCCAAGGCAUCAUGAUGAGGCACGGAAAGAGAGUCCAGACAGCCCUCCUCAUUUUACUUAAGUUGAUGGAAGGAGUACACAGUGGCCCUUGGUAUCCAGGAGUUGCACAGAGGGUCCUCCCUGCCCAGGGAGUACUGUACUCGGGGCGCAGUAGAUAGCAGCUUCUGUCACAGGAGGUAUGGUCAGAACACCAGCAAGCAGUAGGCUGCACAUGCGGACACUACUCUGCUGGCCCUUUCCCAGGCUGCUCACCUGUGGGCCUCCUCCUGGAGACCCAGGCAAUGGGUCUGUCCAUGCUUGUGGUCCUGAGGAGAGCAUGGCAGCUUCUGCCACCUGACUUCCUGCUGCUGCUGCUGCUGUCCUGCUGGACAGCUGGUUCAGGAUGCUCACAGAGCAGUUCAGGGUCAGCUUUUAGGCUGGGCACAUGAGGCUGGCAAGUGAGCUGUGCUCGGGGCCUGGGUUCUCCCCCUGGAAAUAUGCGCUACUCCUGUCAGGCAGAGUGAAGGGAAAUACUGUUUACUAUGUGGGACAAAUCCCAUUGUAGCUCUAAGAGGGAGAAAGAAGAGGAGAAGUGCUCAGAGAACCUGUCACUUGCCACUGUCAUUGGCAGAAUGUAAUUAAUGCCUUUUAAAAGAAGAGACCAUAAGGACAAUUAUUGUUUUUUUUUGCUAUUCUCUGGAGCCAUUUUUAUUUGAGUUACUAAGUUCCUAGAAGGGCUAUGCUGUAUUUAAUCAGACACUAAGACUUUUUAGAAGCUCUAAGUUUAUGGAUGUGACUCUAGUAUGUUCUCAAUAACUUCAGAACACUUCUGUGAUAGUUUGACUGCAGAUUUGAUGAAGAGUUAGCAGUGACUUAAUUUCAGCCCUAAUACUAAAUUUCUAAGAUGGGUGUAUCAGUCAUACUCAUGUAGGCAUAAGUGUAAAUUUUGCACAUUUGCAAUAACACACUUCAGACAGGCUUUUCUGAUUGAAAAUAAAGGAAACAGAGUAAUCUGAAGCACUCUGGAAAAUAAACCUGUGAUAAAACCCUUAAAUAAAAUGACACAGCCACCAAAUUUUAUAGGAGCUGUGAGGGUUUGUCUUUGAAGAGAGAAUGACAAACUCUUCGUUGCCUCCUGGUCUCUGAAAAGCUGUGUCACAGCGAGGGGUUUGUGCACAGUGGUUGUGCUUUCCUUGCACUUCCUCACACAGCAGCUGAGGAGCUGAGGAUGAGCCAGAGGGAGACCUGGGAGCAUUGUGGGCUUUAUUGGGUGCCAGGUGAGCCCUAGACUUCAGCUAUUUGCUAUAUAAAAUAGUGUACAUAAUUGUAGAAACAAACUGACUUCCUGUAGGUAUUGGUUAACUUCCUGUCAUCGACUGUGAAUGAGAUCUAAGUAGAAAUUUAAAAUGGGAUAAUGGUUUCUGUGAUUGGAAUUCGUUGGCCUCUAUUUGAGAACAUUUCCCACUUGCACAAGAGAGUUAGGCAGCUCUUACUCUACCACGUUUUGGUGUGUCCAUAUGUGUGUGUUUUUAAGGGUUUAAGUCAGUGUGUCUCCUCUUGACACAGUUUGAGAUACCUCACAACAGCUCCCCCAGAAACAAAGCAGAGUGCUUGCCUCUUCCCAUGUCUGCUAGAGAAGACGCUCAGUGAGAAGGAAGCAUUCUCGAAGCCUCGCAGACUUAAAGUUCUCCGUGGCGAGGUGGUGUCCUUCUAAGGAGCUCUCACUUUCUAGUACUGGAUUUGCACAAUCGAUGAUUUUCUUUUGGUUCCUCAGGAAUUCAGAACCAGUUCUGAGGAGGACUCAUGGAAAGAGUCAGAAACAUCUUUAAAUCAUUACUGUAAGUAAUGAUGGAAAAAAGUUAUUUAUAGAUUUGCUAACUAUCUGGUUAAAUUUAUUAGAGUUGACAGAGCCAAACUAUAAUUUAGGCCUUGAAGAGCAAGGGUAGAAGCAAAGUAAUCAUCAGAAGACUUGCCAGGUCUCUAUUUUGUUUUAGUUUGUCUAGAGGUGGACUUCAAUCAUGCGACGACCGACGGUACAAUGAGAUUUUGAGUAAGGGUAUCAGUCUCCCAAAAAGAAGAUUCAGGAAAUGCUACUUAGAAUUCCUUCACACUCUUAGAACUUGCAUAUGCUGACUCGGAUGUUUACACUGUGAAAUCUUUACAUAUAGUAGAAAAUAAAUAGCUACUUGAUACACUGCAUUUGCCUGGUCAUGAGUACUAGUGUUUAACUUAAGCAAACAUUCUUGUAAGUAAGUACUUGCUGAUGCCCUGGCCUGCCCACCUGUGAUGGUUUCCUUCUGGGCAUCUUGUGUUCUGAGACCCUGAGUACUUAGUGAAAUUAGCUUGAUUCCCUUCCCUUAGUAUUUCCAAGUGAGCGUGGAGCAGCCUGGAUAGCAUUCCAGACGUUGGUAGCUGUUGAAGAAGGGCAGGGGGCAGGGCCUGGCACCCAGUGGCUGGAGGCCCUCUGAUAUCCUGGCACAGGCACACUCCCCCUCCCCACAGGCUCAUCCAGGGCAAGGGGUGCCAGGGACACAGAACCCUGCCUGGGGAAGGACUGUUCUGCUUCUUCAUGCCAAAGGCCAUGGAUUUAUUUUCAUUAUUAAAACUCGCAGAGCCCACUCUUAGAAUGUAGUAGUACAGAGUUAACUGUAGCUCCUCAGGUAAGGACUAUAUUGAUUACACACAGAACAAAGUUAUUGCUUCUAUUUGAUACGCAAAUAUAAAAUUAUGACAUUGUGAACAAACUAGAUUUGGGAAACGUGGCUGUGUCCUGGAGUCCCACAGUCUGAAGGCUGGCAGGGGCCAUGGAGCUCUUCUGCCUCAUAGGGUCACAGUAGAGCCCAGGUACUGGCAGCUCAGAGCACAGUGUCACUGGAGGUGCUUCUCUCCUCCUGGAAGAGUGCCCAGGGUCGGGUCCUGCCCCAGUCCCUGUCCAGAGAGGGCUCCAAGUGGUACUUUCUGUAAUUUCCUUCUCUCUCCUCUGAAUCUGCCUGUCCUUGUUGAAAUGCUGUUCUUCCCGCCCUGUUUCACCUGAGGCUCACAGCGUGGCUGCCUGGUGAUGCAGUCAGAGCUCUGUCCCUGCUGAGCCCCUGGGAUGGGCGCGUUCUGUGUCUGCUGUGUGAGAGUCUGUGUCUGCCUGGCCAGGGGAGCAGAGGAGAGACUGAGUCUGUAGCCAGAACACAGAAGCAGAGUCAGGGACACUCAGCAAAGGGAGUAAGGGCAUCAAGUAGCCCUGGGUCAGCUGAGCUCACAGUGAGUGGCCCGUGGAGGGGAGGCCUGGGGUGAGACCUUGUCACCUUGCUGUGUGCAUCUGGGACAAAGUGGAAGGCAUGCUGCUGGUCUCCAGUGUGGUGGGGUUGGCUCCCUGGGGACAACUUGUGCCUCAGGCAGUAUCCCUGCGCCCAUGGGCAGGAUGGGCAGCAGGACAUGAGGAAGGGAUCCAAGGAUGGGGGCUGCAGGACCAGAGGAAGUAAAGACUACAUGCCCCCUAAUACUCACCCUGCCCCUCUGAGCCUGGGGUGCCAAGGUGUGGACCCCACCUGACCAGUGUCCCUGAACCCACCGCAACAGUCAUGACUUUUGACGAUGGCACCAGCAGCAAUAGCACCCAAAUUUGAAUGAAUAGAGAGCAUUGUGAAACGGGGUGAGAUUUGGACAAGGUGGCCUGAAAGUUGAUUUUUUAGUCAUUAAGUGAUGGUCUGUAAAUAGCCACCUACAUCUGGGGAAAAAAGAAUUACUUCAUAUUAUAGAUGGGAUUUUUGAAGGGAGAAACACUUGGAGGUAAACUAAAGUCAGUAUUCACCAUAGGAGAAGAAAAAUACUUUUUCCACUUUAAAUCAUAUCAGCUUCGGGAUUAAUAAAAUUUCCUUCAGGAACCUACAAUGCCCUCGCAGCCCCACAUCUUUUUUCUGUUGUUCCUUGUUUGCCUUACCAUAAGAAGUGAAAACUGUGCUUAGUUUCAUGUAGCUCAUCUGUCUUUCUAAUUUUCUUUUGAAGUCUGACUAAGAAGCAUGGUGGCCGUGGAAGUCCUGUGGCCCUGAGUGGCCCUGCCAGCGGUGCUCAGGGCUAGACUCCCUGCUGCAUCUGUCCUGGGCUCCUAGGAGGACUCCUGAGAGCGAAGCAGGGAGUUGCAUGGCCCCAUUCAUAAGGGCCGAGGCAGAACCAGAGGGGACGCCUGGGAGAGACCUGCAGCGGCACCAGCCGCCCGUAGGAUGAACCCUGCUGAUGAGCUUUAUGCCUUUUGGGCAGACAGGAGAAGAUUGGAAGCGCUGUCAACGCAGUGAAACUACCAGGGCUAUAAACAGAUGACACGGUCCUUCCCAAAAGUAGAGAGCAGAAAAACUAUACUGGGGCUGGGGCUAUAGCUCAGUGGCACAGGCAGCUGCCUGGCAAGCACAAGGGCCUGAGUUCGAUUCCAGUACAAAAAAAAAAAAGAAUAACCCUACUUAAGUUUGGUAUAAAUGUUCUGGCAAAGUUGGAAGCUCUGGAAGGAGGGCUGCAUCUAGAGCAGAGGGGGCUGGCGCUGUGGAGCCCUGCGAGGUAGCCACAGGACAGCCGCCAGGCGAAGCCACUGAGAGGUGGGGCUGCAGGCCUCCAGGCCACCCCCCCUGGUCAUCGCACGUCAUCCUGUUGUCCAGGGGCUCCUUGCUCCCUGGGCUCCCUGGGGAAUGCCCGUGUUCCAGUCCUCUUACUCAGGUGCCGAAGGUGACAGGAGUGACAUUCCUAAUACAGGGCAUUUUAGGGGUUUCAGAUUAGAAAUGCAGCUGCACCAUUUGGAGAGAUUUCCAAGGUGUUUGCUAGCCUCUUCCUGCCAAGUGCCAUGUCCUUCUGAUGACUUUUAACUUUGUGUCACUUCUGUCUUAACACUGGGUUACACUUGGUUUUGUCUUGCUAGGGACAGUGUUGGCGUAGUUUGCUUAUCCAGAGAUUUCUGGAGUCAGGCUGGCUUCCCUCUUAGUGCUUUCUUAUUUUACCUGCCAAGGUGAUCUUAGAGUAUGAACUCAGGGUCCUUAAAAACAAGUACGGAAAGUAGGUACCUCUGAUACACACAUACACACGUAUUUGGGGAUUAUCUUCCAUUGCACAUUAUCCAUGUCUGUUAAUCAGAGUUGAUCCAAUACUUAGUGGUUUGCAAAUUGAAUAUUUAAUUGGAAUCUAGUGCUAUUUGAAUGAGACAUACGUUGAAUUCAUAAUUGAGUUCAUUCUUCAUGCAGAUAUUUAGUUUUGUAAAACGAAAGUUUUAAAAACUUACAUAUAACUGAUACAGCUAUGUGUGGAAAAGAAGAAAAGUAUGAAACGACAACUACCCUGGUGUAACGGUGGGCACAUCAGAGAGUGGGUUUAGGGAUCAGGAUUAUUGGCUGUGUACCAGAAGGGAUGUGUUUGAGAUUUAUCUAGAAACAAGUACUGCUGUUUUUAAUCCUGAAAAACAAAAUAUGUCAAGAGUGUUUUUACAUAGUUGUACUGGUACUGAAAUAACUACUGAGCAUUUUGUGUUCUUUUUCAUUCCUGGUAUUAUAGACAGGUAUGAACAUUUUACAAGCAGUAAUACACUAUAACUGCUAAAAAUGUCCCCAGUCUUCGACUCAUUGGCCCAUUUGAAAAUCAAUCAUGAAGAAAUAAUUGAACUGAGUAAAGGAGAUGUGUUACAUGAAGUUGUUCAUUGCAUGGUUAGCUAUAAAAAGAGAGAAAAGAAAUUGGAAGCAACUAAAUACGGUAUAUCCAAAAACAGAGUAAUGGAAAUCAUGUAGUUUACCUUAAAUGAGCAUGAUUUCAUCUUAAUCUCAUUCCGUGAGAAGGCAGACCUGCAACAAGUAUCUUACUAAAUCUGUGGAAAAUUCUGGAUUUUUUUUGUACCAGGGAUUGAAUUCAUGACCUCACAUUUGCCAGGCAGGUGCUUAUGCCACUGAGCUAAAUCCCCAAUCCCCUUUCUGGAAUUUUUAACAGUGGGAACUGCAGAAACACAGGGCAUAUGGAAAGGUGUCAGAUGAAAAAGCAGAAUGGAGUAAUUAUGAUACGCAAACUAUGGUUACAGCUGUGAGUGGAUGUGUUCUGGUACACAAAGAUGAAGGAGCUGUGCAGAAUAAGAUGCAUAUUUUAGACUGCAAGUGGCUUUUGUUGUAAAUGUUGACCCUGUGUGUGUUGUCAGGCCCAGGGCCUCUUUCAUCCUCAUCAGGGGCAGUGCUAGCGUUCUCUCCUUUCAUCCAACACAUCUGCUGUACAUGUUAUAAGGAUAUUUUAAUGGAGAUAUAUCUUUAAUAAAACUAUUGCUACAAUUACCGUGGAUUUGUGGAAGACAGUAGGCAAGUGUCAUUUAUGUUUUUAACCAGCAAGUAAGAGCUGAGCUGUUUUUCCUCUUUUUUCCUGCACAGAUGCAGAGUAACAGCCCUGCUGGUGACCCCCUCUUCUAGGGUUCCCACCUUGCAGCAAGACAGGGAGGAAAUGCCUCAAAUCAGAGGGAGGCAGGAUGGUCAGACACCACGCCGUGUGUAUGUGCUCUGUGUGUGUGUGUGUGUGUGUGUGUGUGUGUGUGUGUGUGUGUACAUGCGUCUGCAUGUACUCUAAUUGGCCAAGUGUAGAUUGGCCUAAGUGUAGAUUUUUUUUAAUUUUUAGAACUGUAUGUAAACCUUAUCUGGGAAAAAGGUAAAAUAUUUAGAGGGCUGCUUCUUUUAUUUUUAAAAAAUAUACAGAUAAUAUUUUUACUACCAUACAGGCAUCAUCAUGCUUUUGUAACUAACAUGCUUAGUUUUGCUUUUGGUAGUGCUGUUUUGAUACUGCUGCUUUUCUUCUUUAAAAAUCACUGUUUGUGAAUUUGUGUGACCGUAGGGUACUUAAAAAUUUAAGUGACCUGGCACAAUUAAUUAGUUUGUAUUUAGUGUGUCAUUAUUUUCAUAGUGAUAGCCUUGCAGGUAUGUGUGUGCACAUGAUUUUGAUAUUACCUUGGUAAAAUAACCCUCAUGUAUAAGCUGCACAAAGUAAAUUAAUGUAUAUUUCCUGAGACUCUCUGACACUAGCUGCCCCACUCUCCAGGAUUUUCAGCACAAGCCCUGCCUCUGUUGUGGUGAUUUGCUGCUGAACAGGUUUAUUUAGGCGAGCAGGUUAGGUGCCCCCACACUGGCUCCCAGGAGCCCUGCCUUCUCUGGAUUCCUUCGUCUCCUGUUUUUAUAGUAGAGUAUCCUGUAGUUGGUGGCAUGACUUGAGCUGCAGGGCAGAGGGCUCUUCUAAGAAGGUGAUUUCUCCUCAACUUGCCUGACUUCAAGGUUGGGAAGAACUGUGCAAGACAGCAAGAACUGUUUCAUUUGCAGUGUCUGAGUUUGCCUGGAAUUUAAGUUGCCACUCUUUAAUCAGCAGUGUAGCUUUAAAGUUUGUCUUUGAAAAACACUUACUGAAAGCUCAUUUAAGCACUUUCCCUGCCUGGAUUUAAAAAGAGAGGGGCAUUAGUAUAAACCAGCUACUACUGAUUCUUUUUUUAUGCCACACAGUCUGUGUAUUUUGGAAGGCAGGAGCAUCGAUGUGUGUACGUGCACUGACACACUGGGCAGGACUCUGGCCCAGGGCAUAAGACAGUGGGGUCAUCAAGACUUGUGAAGAGCAAAGGAUGGACCCCUGCCACAGCACCUGAGCCCCACACAUGCUGCAGAAAGCUGGACUGUCUCAGAAAUUAAAGUGUUAGCACUGAUUCCAACAGGGGCUCGUUUUUUCUGUGCUGAUCAUUUUCACAGAACUCUGUCAGGAAGGAAAGCUCAGCACCAAUAUUUUUCUAAAGAUUCUUUCUGGCUUUCUUUUGGUGGUGUAGUACUUUAUGUGUACAUUACAGGAUUCUUAAAAGUAUAUAUAAAAAUGACUGGCUUUUCCAAUUUUGUCUCUAAUACUUCUUAAAGCAUGUUUCAAAUAAGGAUAUAAAGCCAGUGGCUAUUUCAAAGUUUUAAGAUCUGGCCAGAACAAGAUAGGUUCCCUGAGGUAUUUCUGCUAAUAGCUAAAUUUUUUUCUGUUGGUUACUGGAUUUGAGAAAUGAAAUAUGGAUUUGAGAAUGACCUUUCACUUAAGCUUUAAACAUUAGAUGUUUAGUAAACAUAGCCUUAAAGUGCUGGUUUUCUUUUAAAUAGAAAAGAUGUAUUACUAUUAUGCACAUGUAUACAUAUACACACUUUUUCCUGUUAUACAACCUAAAACUGCCUGGAAAAAAUAUAUGAGUUUUCCAGUAGGGAAAAAGUUAACGAUGACUUUUAAAAGCCUGAAGGUUCAGGUCCCAGCUGUCGAAAGCUGAUCUGGGCUGCUGCAGUGAAUGUGUCCCUGGUGGGGCCUGAACCCUGUCGCGUUUGACAGCUGACCCAUUUUCUCAGACCUGGUUAAAGGAACAGGCUCCUUCUGAGCUCACCGUGUUCCCCUGCCACUUGUCAUGGCCAGCUGGGGCUGUUCAUGCUGAAUCUCUUACACUGAAUUUUUUAAUAGCUUCAGCCUAAGUAAUGAGUUUUGGAGUAAUGGUUUAAAUGAACCAUUGGUAACAUGCUGACACAUCUGGCAUCCUGCAGCAGGAUUUAGUGUUGCGUACUGCAGUGACGAGAGAUCAGCAGAGGCUCUGACUUUGCUAUCAUGUGCAUUUAAGUGCAUGCAGAAGCUUUUCUCUUUUACCCAGUGUUGGAAUUCCAUUAUAAUAGUGAACUCUAUGACUUCCUCCUGUACCAUGGUGUGCAUUUGCUACCUUUUGGCUAACUUCAGAGCAGUAAAUACUUUUAGGUUUGAAACUUGAGGACUUGAAUACUUCGUUAUCCCCUGUGAGGCAGUUCGUUUUUAAAGGUGCUGAGCAGAAGCCAUGCCACAGUUGUGCUAGUGUUUGUGUUCCUUGGUCUUCAAAUGCAUUUAUUGGCUUUGGCUCAUUCUCUCUACAGAACACAGCUUCUGCGAUGCAGUCUAGGUGUGGAGAUAGUGCUGUUUUGCCUCUUUGCCUUUGUCAUGUAACUGUGGGCCAGACCUUUGGUGGAGUGGCUGUAGGUUGUUGGGUUGUGCACUCCCAUUGCAUUCUGAUGAUUCACUCUGGCUUGGAUGAACACAGUGAGUCAGAGCUGUGCGUGCUGAUUAGCCAGGACCUCCCUGUGCUGACUCUGGGUCUUCCUGAACAUCCUGGGAGAGGUGUUUCCCAAGAUAGGGAUGGCCAGCAGUCCCGUGUGCUAGAAAGCCCUGUGUACACAAACACGGAUCUUGUGCUACAAAGGUCUGUGAAACCAUAUAUAUAUAUAUAUACACACACACACAUAAAUAUACAUAUAUAUAUAAACACACAUAAAUACAUACACAUAUAUAUAUAGUAUACACAUAUAUAUCAAUGACAGAUAUACGCAUGUGGUGUAAUAUAAAAUAUGGUGAAUGUUUAAAACACUAUUGUUGUAAAAAACCCAUUGCCGUAAAUUCCCCUCAAAAUAAUCCUCAUUUCCAACACAUUUAACCCAUCAUGCUUGCCAUUUACUGAAACAGUUUUGGAGUCCUCUUCCAUGAGUGUCUCUGAUUAUGCGGCCCAGGUCUGGAUGUCCUGAUUUGAUGAACAUGUUUAUCUUUCACGAUUAUUUUGACUUUGGGGAAGAGCCAUAGGUUGCAUGGUGCUAGAGCUGGUGAAUGAGGGCACACCGCGACGUUUUUGUGAGCCUGCCUUUCUGCUGGACGGUGGUCAGCAGCAGCAGUCACUGUAUUUUUGAUCACGUGUCAUGAAGACAAUCUUGAAAGAAGAUUUGCAGAACUGUUUCACAAAGUGACAAGAACAAUGGGAUAAACGUGCUCGAAGAGGAGAAAGAUUUUGAGCGAGAUGCGUAGCAGUGUCUUUUACUGUAAUAAUGUACAGCUAAUAGUCUUGGUUACUUCUUUUAAGUGUGCAUCAUUGCUUCAGAAGAUUUGGGACCCUGAUGUAUAUGAAGUGAUAAAAACAGGGCACAGUUGCUUGUUCACACUUGAGGAGCAGCCACAGGAAGACUUAUGUCCGCAUCGCUUCCUAUGUGCAGGGAUCAUGACUGUUGUACUCCCUUUGUUUGUAGGCUGAUCCUAUUAGAUGCAAAUCUAUGUGGGGGAAAAACAAAUACAUAGCCUUUGUGGAAGGGUUAAUUAGGAGAUCAUGAGUUCUUAAUGCUUGACAACAUUUAGAAAAGCAAGUAAUAUAAGAAUAGUUUGAAAAAGAAUGUCGUCAUUAUGUGCUCCAUACAUGUACUAAUAAAAAAUUUAAAAAGUAGAAUAAAAAACUAAAAAAAUGGAAUUUUGAAAAAAUUAUUCCAUCAUGUGAAUAUUGCAUGAAUUUUGAAGUCAUUGUUUACUUGAAACAUGUAAAUUCUUUCCAGAGUGGACGAUUGCCGAUUUCAUUGCACAAAGCUUAAGAUACUGAGUCUGGGAAUGGUGGCAGAAUCCUGUCUCUUGUCAGCAUUUGGAAUUUGUGCUUGUGAUCCCCCUCCCUGCCUUCUUCCCUUUUUUUCUUUCUCUUCUCUCUCUUUGUCUGUCUGUCUGUCUUAACCUGUUGCUUUAUGAAAAUGUGCUGGAAGAUUUUGCUUUAGCAAGUUUAAAUCUGUUGACUUAUGGGUAUGACAUUGUAAUCUCCAUAUUUUCAGAAAUGUUUUGUUACUGUUUAUUUAAAAGCAACUGAAUAAAAACCACUCCAGCUAUUCAGAUUUCAGUCUGUACUGAUGACUAAUCAGGUUGAAGGCUUGCACAUAAAGCUUCCAGAGAAAAAUAAAAAUUACAAUAAAAAUAUAUUUGUUCCCUGGUUUGAAAGUACAGAAUGUUUCCUGUGCCUUUAGAUAUGGGAACUAUGGCAUUGAAAACAAUGGUAACCAUGGCAAAUGUACCUACAAAAUAAACUGGAAAGGAGAUGGGGUGAGAGAGGGCAGGAGUCUGCGUGGUAACAGCUUGCUGAGUAAAUAAGUAUUUAAACUUCAUGCCCCGUUACAUGUGUAAUCAUGAGAUUUGCAGAGUUAUGUUGUACAUUGCUUUUUAGUUGGCAUCCUAUUUAUCUUGUGGUAAAUAACCUAUUAACCAAAUUUAAGAGCUGUUCCCACACAAAAGCUAGUUACAGGCUUUCUGGUUCUUAGUAUCUCCUUGGGUUCUUAUACAGGAAAUUGAAUUACGUAUUUGCUAUGGUUUUUCCAUGAUUCUGUGACCCAGGAGGCACCUAGGGCUGAUGUAAGUGAAUUUCUAAGUUUUGAGAUGAAUUAACUCUAAGCCUUAAAACCUUUCAGUGUACUCAGAAGUGCUUUAUAGAAUUUCUAAGAAGUUAACAUGGUACUUCCUGGUUAAGACCUCUGUGAGUGCAAAUACAAAAGAAGACAGAAAAAUAAAUGGACACAUAUAAAGUAAAUCCAGAUUCUCCUGAUUUCCAAACUCAGCCAGAUGGGCCUGGGGCAGCUUGGCCAGUUAGGACUUCAGUGCUGGUGGGAAUUACUUGUAAUGGUGGGAGUUUUUGGUGUUGGUUGGGCUGCUCUUUGCUUUGGGCUGCCCAGGAUGGCAGCUAACCUCUGCCUUAUGUGAUGGUGAGCACUGGGAAUGUGACCAGCCCAACGGAGGAGCUGGGCUGUACAUUUUUAGUUUUAAUUAAUUGAAAGGUUUUAGUGUUUUAAAGGUACGGUGACGGUGGCCAAGCUUUCCACCUCAGGAAGGGCAGGUAGAAGCAGGGUGGGCCUGGGACCAGGACUAGUUGGGAUCCUCAGAGUCAUGACCAGGACUCAUGCCCAGCCCGUAUUUAUCAGAUCACAGUGAGGGCUCCUAGGGAGAGAAACUCUUACCUUUGCGUGGGUCUGGUGUGUACGUUCCAGUCCAUCAGCUGUAGGGUGGGUGCAUCGUCCCAUGUCCACACAGGGAGUUGGGGACACUUCCCAGGGAGGCAGGAAGUGAGCCUGCAGCCGUCACAGGAGCUGCCUCCCACAUAUCUUAAAAGAAAUCUUCACCUGCAAGCACUGAAUUCCUAAAUUCAAAAUAAUCCUAUUGGUUGAUUUACUUGUGCUUGACUUACCUUUUUAUUACCAAUGUAAAAUAAAAUAACUCCAACAUUGUGUUUUGAGUAAAAGUUUGCUGGCUUGGGAGAUUGAUACUGUAAAGCCACAGGAAGGGAAUCAUUGAACUUCACAGCUAAGCGGAUUCCCGGUUGUGAAUCUUGUAUUGUAGAAGAGGGCACUGAGGGUUAGAUGUUGUGUUACCUCCAGUCACAGUGUUAGUUGCCACAUUGAGGGUGGAUGCUUGCUUUCAUGUAAAUGGGUUCUUACGUUAUUGACCUGCUAAAUGUGAAAAUGAAGUGUUUGAAAAGACACCCUGUUGAACUUUGGGUUGUGUGUGUAUUAUAAAAUGGUGCUAAAAUUGUUCAAGGACUGUCAGUAGUGUAGAUUUUUAAAAUUUAUUUACUACCAGGAAUUGAACUCAGGACCUUGCACUUUCCAGGCAGGUGCUUAUGCCAUUGAGCUGUUUUUAUUUUUUAAAAGCAUAAAGAGAUUCCAUGUUUGUGUAAGGUGAACUCUUAGUCUGUUCUUAUUUAGUGCAUUUGGAUCAAAUAAUACUUGAGGUGAGUCGAGAACAAGCAGGCAUUCAGGACACUCACUGGGAAUUACUGCUGCCUUUUAUGAGUAAAAUGGGCUGUUUGGGUUUGAGGUCUGUGUGCUGGAGACACCCUGGGAACAGGUCACAGUCCACCCCUGCCCAUCUGUCACACUGCCCUGGGCCCUCUGUCCCCUCCAUAUCCCGUGGACUGGGACGGGCAGCUUGCUGAGAUCUGAAGUUCUUUCCACACAUUAAUUUUACCUUAAUAACAGUCUUUAGAUAUGUAUUGAAAGUACAGUUAUUUGGGGUGCAAAAUCAGCAGGUAAAUAAACAGAGAAGCUGGAAUAAGAGAGCAGAGUGAGUAAGCCAGCAGCUCCCUGGCCGCACCCGGGUGAGAAGACCAGCAGCCCCAGGCUGAAGAACUUCCAGAGACACUGUGCGCUCUUCUCCCAUGCACCAGGGCUGGAGUUCAGGGCCUGAUUCCCCAUGGCUCUUUAUCAAGGGAUCGCAUCACUGUGGGCAUCCCCAUGGCUCCCAGAAGGAAGUCCUCAUCCUGCAACUGGUGAAGCCUUUCAGUCAUGGUUCUCCUGUCCCGAUCCUGUCACCUUUUUCCUGGGUUUCACGGUAGGAGAGGGACCACUGUUCCUCCUGUCACUUCCCAAUUCUGGGCAGCUGCCUCCUGGUUCUCAGGGCUUGCACUGCCCAAAGCACUCCCUCUGGAAGCUCAUUUUAACAAUGAGGCUGCAUUUGAGUGGCUUCGUCAGUGGGGCACUGUGCACGUACAGAGUAACUGCAGAAGACUUUGGAACUUGUCGUAGCCGAGAAAAUAGUACACUUUAUAUGUCCUCGCUCUCUCCUGGAGGAGACAGCACAGGCGAGAGAUCAAUGAGGCAUCGGCUUCCUAGCUGUGGAAAGCCUACCCAUGUGGUUAAUGUGUGUGGCGUGUGCUUUCUCCCAUUUCCUCCCUGGGGCUUGUCAUUUUGGGACUAAUACAGGCACAAAGACCCUAACCUGGCAAACCUGUCUCUGCUGUGUGAAGGCAAGCAUUUCCACUAAUUUAGAGGCUUUUUAAAAUAUAAAAGUAAAAUUAUGAAAGGAAGGGAAAAGUGAAUCUGGGUUGGAUGCUGAUUUUUUUUUUUUUUUUUUUUUUUUUUGUAUUGGGGAUACAGAGGACCUUCACACUGAGCUACAUCUCAGUCCUUUAAAAUUUUUUUAAAUUAUGAGACAGGGUCUCACUAAGUAGCCAAGUUGGCAGCUGGGCUCAGCUUGCAGUCCUUCUACCUUAGUCUCCCAGGAUCCUGGGGUUACAGUGCUGUGCCAUGUGCAGUUUCAUAUUUUUAUUACGUUUGAUUAAGACCAUGUGCGCUGUACCGUAAGUAAGAAUUUCAGAAAGUUGUGGAAGUUUCCCCUCUUCUUAUUCAUAACUAACUUAAUUUCAUUAGAGAACUAAAAUCAAACCAAAGUAACCCACAUAGUGGCUUUCACUUAGAUGGGGAGGGGCGAUUAUUUCUUCACUAGCCACCCGCCAGCUCUUUGAGAGCAUUGCUGCAGAAGUCCUAUAGCCCUGCACCUUCACAUUCUCUCCUCACCCCUUAGCAGAAAGUCAUGCUAAGGUUUUGCUGUCUCAUAAGGAGAACCCUUCCUGAGCCCGCAUUCCUGUCCCGCAGAGGCAGCCGUAUGCCCCAGGAGUCCACACUCCUGUCCCCAGCUCCCCACCUGCCUUGGCCCCCAGCCUGGGCCCUCUCCACGGCAGGCAUGCCUCCUCUACCUCCAGCCUGCUCUCUGGUCAGACCCAGGCCAGCGCUGGGCCUUGGCACCUGCCUUGGGCAGCAUUCAGCCCAUGGGUCGUUUCCCCCACUCCACCACCCUUCCCUCUGGUUCUUCGUUUUCUUUACCCCUGACUCUGAGGUCCUCUUGCCUUUCCUGAUAGCCACCCCUGGGGAGCCUCAUGCAUCCCUGCCACUGUUCACGUGUUUAUCUGCAGCAUGUCUGUUCAGAGCGCUGGUCUUGAGUUCUCAUGGAGUUGACACUUCCAUUCUCUGGCUCUUCAGUCCACAUUCCAAAUUCUGCUUCCCCUUUGUCCUUCUGGUCAGUAGUCAUGGUCUUUUUGAUGAUCAUACAACCCGGACAGGUAGCUGCAGCCCAGGGUUGUGGCAUCCAUGUGCCUCUGGCUGGCUCCCCACUCUCAGCUUGCCCACAUGCUCCUCACUUCCUUGCACUGUGUAUCUUGACAUGUCGUGUAUCUGUCCAUGGCCUAUUUCCCCUUCCAAGAACGUGAUCUAAAGGUGACAGCUUUUAUCCACCGUGUCUUGGCUGUGACCUCAGGUCCACAGCAGUGCCUGUGGAAGCCCCAUGAGCAUGCCCUGGACUGAGCACUGCAUGAAUAUGGUACCUUGAGGAUGGUGCUUUUCACCUUGGUUGCAGGAACUGGAGCUGUGAAGGCACUUCAUGCUGCCUCUCCUCGGAAGCCUGGCUUCUGAUGACUGCCUUCUUUGGGAGAAACAGCAGGCUUUAGCUGCUCAAGGGAAAUUUCCAUUGUGUGCCUUUUCCUUUUGCAGCUGUCUCUGAGCAAAUUGCUCAUCCCUGCUUCUUCUUGGAAUACUUUUCUCCUCCUCUGAACUGCACUUGGCUCUCCUAGACUCUUCCAGCUUGGCUUCUGUUCCCAGGCUCAGAUCUGCUUCCUGACUGCACAGUGCUCACCCUUUUUAUAGUAAAAAGCUCCUGGUGAUGUCAGUGGCCCAGCUGGUUUCAAUCAGGCUGCUCAGUGGAAGCUGGGAAUGACUCCCAGUUAGCUCUUGCCCAGCCAGGCUCAUUCUGACACCACAAACAUCACACCUGCAGCAGCGCUAAUCACUGGCAGUAACUGCCUGCAGGCUCAAGGAAGUGUUUCCCCCUCCUUGCUAGUGGGAUUGGGAAUGAGUGUGGGCCCAGUGUCAGGUGCUGGAUGCUGCCGGUGGUGUCCACCAAAGCAGGUCUCUCCGCAGCUCUCUUGUGAGCACUCGAAGCUAAUUUCCCACCUCAGACCUCUGCCUGCUCUGUUCCUCUGCUCCUGGACCAUGGAUAUACGUGUGAGUGUAGGUACACGUAUGCCUUGCCAUCUAUAAAAUAAAGUGUGCGUGUGGCCAACCUUUCUUUGUUUUUGCAGAUUAACUUGAAUUCUAGGUGCUUAGUUUUUGUCAUUAAUUUUGAAUCUUCUACAAUUGCUAUUUUGGCUUAGAACAUGGAACAGAUUUUUGUUAGUGAGGUGAUUGGCUUGCAGUUCAUUUGUAGGAGCGUUAUUUAUGUUACUAAGUCUGAUGUAAGAUGUUUUAAUGAUACCCUUUUGUUUUGAGGAAAAAAAGCAUUCUUGGGAAACUGCUCAGUUUUCAGAAACCAGACCAGUCAAAUGUAGUUCUGUUGGAAUAUGGUUCAUGUGGGAAGCCAUGGCUACAGGGUUAGAACCCUCACAGCUUCCAUGGUCACAGUGCAAAGUGAGCUUGGUGUCCCCAGGGGGGUGUUGGAGGCAUGGCGGACGGUGCUGCUGUCCAGCACUACUUUCUGAGUUACUGUCUAAUGCAGGAUGCUUUGAAGACGAAAAUACAACAGUCAUAAACUAGGACUGGCAUGCCAACCCUGGAUGCUGUUGCAGUGCCCGACAGAAUUCCAGGGAGGUCUGUGUGUGUUGGGGUCCGAGGAUUUCUGUGAAUACAGAGAAGCUCAUAUUACUUGCACAGCAUGCAGAAUUCAGAGUGGAAGAUUUAGAGCCCAGGUUUGAAGGAAGAAGUCUGUUUCCAAAUCACAGAGGGCAGGCGGUGGUGGGGGCACGGGGUCUUAUUUAGGGGCAGAGAGAGGCAGCGUGUGGAAUAAUAAGAUAGUAGCAGAGAUCUGAUUAGUGGUAAGAGAUGAUAAACAAAUUAUCUUUUAAAAAUUUUAUUUACAUAUACAAAUUUAGAGGUACAGUGUGACAAUUCAGUGCACAUAUAUGUAAGGAUAACAUCAGGGCAAUUAAAAUGAUCAUUAGAUAAAAUGCAUUAAAAACAUGUUCCUCUUUUGAUGAGCUUACACAUUGUAAAAAUUAUAUAAUAUUAAGUAAGUACAAUGUUAACUAUGUUCCAAAAUACUGAAUUUUAAAAUCAUCAUUAAAAUAACUAUUCUUCAUUUUUUUUAAGCAAUGGCUUUUAGUUAGUGUUCUUUUGUUGUGUGUGUAUGUUUGCUGCUAUAACGAGGAAGUAAGUCCGUCUCCAUAUAAAACAAGUAGAAUUUUAUACAUUGGCUGGUUUAGCUUUGUCUUUGGGGAGGAUACCUGGAUUUCUAUAGGGUUUAAGAAAAAUCAAGAUGAUCUGAGGAAGAUUAGGAAAAGGACUUGCAUGCCUGUGGUACAAAGAGUGUUUUAGUUUAAUGGGUCCUUGCUUUGGUUUCCCUGGAAAUCUGUGUUUAGGGAGAACUUUGUCAGACACUGAUGCAGACAGGAUUCUGAACCUUUUAAAUCACCAACAGGCAGAAACAAGAGACAGCCUGGCUGUGCCAGCGUCUUCCACUGUGGACACUUUAAAUAGUGUUUCCUUGGCUUGGCCCAGAGGGAACCAGCGUACUCACCAAUCCAUUGAAUGUUGGGUGAGCAUAUUUGUAAGGUUGUGUGUGUCUCCCUGUAGAAAUGCUGCCUCUUCUUUGUCUUUUGGUCUACCAGGAAUUGUAUGUGUGUGUGAACUGAGUGUGUACCCACUAUUCCAGGUAAUUGACAGGUCCUUGAGGAGAGAGAACACUUAGAAAUUCUAGCUUGCCAAGUUAUCCGAAUGUUAACUAAAUGCAAAAGAAGCGUUUUCUCAAAUUAGAAAAAAUUUAACAAUAAACUGUGCUUAAUAUUUGCCCAAAUGAACUGGAAACUUUAGAUCUAUACAAAACCCUGCACAUGAAUGUUUAUAGGGGCUUUAUUUAUAAUUACCAAAGUUUAGAUACAGCUAAGGUGUCCUUCAGUAAGUGACUGGAAGAACAAAUCAGUGUAUCUGUAUGACGGAAUAUUAACCCAGUGAGCCAUCAAGCCAUGCAAAGUGGCAGAGAAAAUUUAGCUGCCUAAUGCUGGUGAAGGAAACAGACCUGAAGCGCUUAUUACCUAGUCUGUGACUCCAACUGUGUGAUGGCCUGGAGAAGGUUUUCUGCAAAGAUAGGUGGUGUAGGAUCUGUAGGGUGGGAAGGGUGGCUGGGCAGGCGUGGGGAGCUGAGAGCUUGGGAAUGGGUCGGUGGGGCACACUGGCUCCUAGAAUGGCAGAACUGCUACGCACGGUACUCCCUGUUGUGGUGAGCAGAUGUCUGUUCGCACCGGAUGAAAGCUGUGGAAUGCACAGCACAAAUACAGACUCAGGACUUCAGCUAGUAGUAUUGCAGCAGCAUCGCAUAUAUAUUUAAAAUUCCUCAAGCGCAAACCCUAUUUCCUGAUAGGCAGUCGAUAUAUGAUAAAUAUUGGCACCUGGUGAAAAUGUAUGUCAUAGUACUUUGUAAACAAUAAACUCAGACAAACAAGGAGAAACUAAUAAGUAAAACUGAUAUAUAAAAAAUGUAUGAUAAUGCUGAUAAAAUUCAAUGGAAAGGUUUAGAAAACAUAAGGGAAAUUUGAAAUAAAGACUGAAACUUUUUUUUCAAAGGUUAAUCUCAGAAAAAAGAUUAGUAUUGUCCCCAUUUAAUGAAAUUUGAUACCUGCAUGUAGGCUGUGUGGGUUAGCAGUACCUCUGCACUCAGCUGUGCUCCCUUGUCCUUGCAGGGGUCCUGGAGGUUUCAGGGCAUGCCCUGCUGAGGGGCCUCAGCUGGAGGUGUUGUCCCCUCGCGGUUAACACGGCCAUUUCUCCUAACUUCAGUACCAGGUUGUUAAGAUACAACAUGAUCUCCCUUUCUAACAUGACUGGUGAAGAAUAUGGAAAGACAAAGGAAACAGAAUGUGGAUUUUCAUUUGCAGAGUAUUUUAUAAUUUUGAAUGUUUGAUCAAAAUAACUUAGUUUUCUAAUUUCUAGGUUAUGUUUUAGAAUGUUAGUUCUUUAGUUUUACUUUCUAAAAUACUAAGUGCAAACAUACUGAAAUUGGUUUGCUGCUUUUCUCCUGUAAGUUUCAAGUGUUUUUUAUUUAUUUUAUUUUAUUUUAUUUUUUCUUUUUUUUUUUGAGAUAGAGUCUCGAUGUAGUACAGGAUGGCCUUAUGUCGCCCAGGCUGGCCUCAAACUCAUGACCAUCCUCCUGCUUCAGCCUCUUGUGUGCUAGGAUUACAGGUGUGCACCGCCAUGCCCAACUCAGGUGGAAAUAAUAGGAGAAACUGAUGUCUAAUGAUUUCUGGGAUCACCCACCUGCUUCUUCAGGAUUGACUCAAGGCACAGACUGUCCCCAAAAAGAAAAGUGCUGGAGAGGUCAGAAAGGUGUCCUGAGGAAAGUGACCAAGGCAAGCUGUGAGGGACAGUAGCAGAGGAGCAGAUCAGACAGAAGCCUGGAGCCCUGAGCUGUUAUUAACCUUUGGAGCCCAGUCCCUGAGCAGGACUGCUGGAAGUGUGAGCAUUCAAAUACCCAUGGUUAGGGAGUAAAUGAGAUAUUAACUACCUUGUAUAAAUCAUCCCAUUGCCUAAAAUGACUUGGCUUAUACUAAAGUACCUGAUAGGUUUGUAAUACUCUUAAGUGGAACUUUGUGUUAGCUUGAUUAUUGGAAUUUUAUAAAUGAGUAAUACAGACGAGGUUUGUAGGAAGGACUUGUUUGCUGGCCUGCUUUCUGUUUUGAGGUGCUGGGCAGAGGCAGGGACCUCCUGUGCUAGGUUAAUUCACUCACACUGAGCAGGACUUGUGGUCUGUGGGCAGCCACACCUCUUCCCAAAGUAAGUGCAUCAUAUACUCUUUUUAUAGAAUGCAUGGCUUUUUUGUCACUGUGUAAUACACUGAAGGAAAGAUUGAAAGAAAAAAGUAGGGGGUACACUGUAUGUAUAAAAUUCAUUCUGGAAUAAGAAGUUGGGAAAUCCGAAUAUAAAGCUCUUUAGUAUUCUUUAUGGAGAAUCUUUUUCCCUAGAUUGCUAAGCAAUUUGAUAAACAUUUGAUCUGGUUAGUUGCAGUGUAAUAACUGAAGGUUCAUUAAUUUAGGAAAUGAUGGAGUAAUGACUGCAACGUCCUUUGAUACUGAUUGACUCCAGCCUGGAAAGCAAGUGGAGACCCAAACGCAUUUUUCCACCUUCUCCAUUUCCUUUCCUGUGCACUGCACAGUUUAUUUUAUUUUUGGUUUUGCAGUGUAAUUUAAAGAGUUACUCUGAAAGUUUUUGUCAGUUUUUUUGGGAGGGAUAUUGAAUUUGUUUACAUGAAAAUUAGUUUCAGUAGUCAGAGCCGGUCAAUAGCCAGUGCUAUUGAUUCUUGGACCCACUUACUGUCUUGUGCUUUCAUUUUAGUCUAGAACGUUGACCAUGUUGUUCUCAGAUCACUUCAGCCAUUCUUCUGAAAGAAUUCUUCCAUGCCACUUCAUUCUGAUCUGAGGGAUAUCUUACAUACUGAAGCUUAUUUUGAAAAGAGGCUAAAUAAAAGUACUUACAUUGGUGUUGGGCAUCUUCAGUGUGAGCUGUCUUAAUAAAAAAAUAACUGAUUUAAUUGUGUUUCCCUGUUUACAGAGGCUGAGUGAAAACGUGGCCUUUCAGUCAGUGGUAAUAGAAACCCUUAUGCAGGUGUUGGGAAGUGACAGAAAGUGACGUGUAAUACCAAUUCGUGUUUUGAAACCUUAAAAUACACUAUGAUUAAAUGUAUCGAGGAUCAGUUGGAUGAUCACAGUGCAAACCUGUGAAAUGCAUCUACUUUGAACAUGGCUGAUUUUGAGUUCCAAGUCUUCCUCCUGGGUCCUGCAGGCUGGAGGACCUGGACCUCUGCAGCACGCUGAGCCUCACCUCUGCCUGUCUGAUUCUGUGGGCGACUCCUCCGGCUCCGGAGCAUGGCUUAGUGUGUCUGGCCCUUUCGCUUUCAGCCUUGCCCUGAGGAAAUGAUGAAAAGCACUUGGGUUACCAGGUGUGCUUUUUCUAUAAACAAAGUAGAUGUGCUGUCAUUUAACAGAUGUGCUGCGGUCCACACAGGAAGUGGAGCUUUGUGUAACAAACAUUUACCUGUUCCUUACUCCUUGCCAGGUCCCACUUCAAGAUUUCACAACAGAUGAACAUAACCUUAUGAGGCGCGCUAGGAUGCAAGUUACACGAGGGAGAAACUGAGGCACAGAGAAGCAGCUAUGGGACUUGGGGUUGGGUUCCAGCUUGUCAGAAUGGGCAGGGGUGGCUUCGUGAACCUCAGAGAUGCUCGGCAGUUGCGGUGAAGACACUCCUCUGGGAUGAGUUUCCAUUUGGUGACUAGAUCUGUGAGCUUGAUGCGGUCAGCUUAUCCUGUAAUUGAUCCUACAGGGGUGUGUGUAUGUGUACUUUUGUGGAACGGGGGGUUGAACCAAGGGUCUUUGCACUGAGUCCCCACCCACUUUUGUUUUGGAAGGGGUCGUCCAGAUGGCGCCCUUGUGCCCCACAUCUGUGGAUUACAUCCCUGGAAGUUGUCCAGGCUUUGAGUGUUAGCAGAUUUUGAUUCAAAAUGUGACUGCCAUUUAGUUACCAUUUUUUUUUAAUGACUUACAGUUCUCCGUAAUGUCUUUAAAUAUAAGAUGGUGCCCAGUACUUUAUAAGAUAGGCAUGGGAUUGUAUAACUACAUGUGUGACAGACCAAGUAGGUGGAAGCUAUUCAGUAAUGGGUGGUGCACAGUGUUAAGUACAUAAUUACAUAAUUGCCAGAACUAGAAAUCCUAUAACGGAGGAGAUGCACUUGAAAGCCAGUAUCAGAGUCAUCCUGUUCACAUGUAGGGAUGGUUAGUGAAGGACCCAUCUACAGAAUAGCUGAAAGAUGUCAGUUAAACUGCAGGCGUGUGAGAUGGGGUGUCAGGGAAUCCUUUUUUAAGCAAAUCAGGCCUAAUUAGUACAAAGGAAAGUCACAUUGUUCCCAGUUAUUAAUAAUUAUCCUAUUAUAAUUAUUAAGAAUGGCUAAAAUAAUGUAUUAUAAUUUUUUUAAAAGAUAAGUUGUGUCAGUGACGUUUCUUUGCACUUUGCUUGUGUUUGUGUGUGCAUGUGUUUAACUCAUCUCGUGUCUUUGGCCCUAGUUUGUGGGUUGGCUGCAUCUCUGGCCACGGGGAAGGGACGGCUCUUCCUUUGGAGCAAGAAGCUGUCCACUUCUUGUGGUGCUGGCUCAUGUAGCAAGAGGAAAACAAGUGGGUCUGGGCCUUGAGUGCCUACAAGUCAUAGAAGCAUGUCUUACCGUAGAAUGUGAACUUUCCUGUGAGUCUGCAGUGUAAGUGAUAGGCUGCUGGGUUAGAAAGGCACCUGGGUCUUCCUCCCAUUCUUCUAAGUCUAGGGCCAGGUGAGGGUGCACUUCUGUUGUCUUCCGUUCACAAGUGGUUGAGUUCAGCAUUGCUGUGUUUCCCUUCAGACUUGCAGCUGGUCAGUCCAGGACACUUGUAGCUGAAGUUGGUAUUGUGUUGUUUCUCUUCCUGUGGUCCUAGUGCUCCAGCGUCAGAGGAAAAACCGAGAAGUCGGAAUCUCCCGGGUUGCUGAGGGCCUGCUGGCCCCUGGGUGCCACCAUGAGUAACCUUUUAGUAAGGUUUUAGUAAGGGUGGUAAAUUAGGGUGUCGUCCCUGAGACUUGGCUGAAUUUUCCUUCUGUUCUUAGAUCCCUCUGUUAAGAGCCAAUUGCAUGUGACCAUUUUUGUAUAAAAGGAGUGAUAUGUUUUGCCCUUUGCUUUGAAAACAGUAAUGAGAAUUUGAAAAAUUUUCUCUGUAUGUAUUUUAACCCAAGCUAGUAAGUAUGUUGUGAAAGAGCAAAUUACUCAUUUCAACCAAAAAUGUGAAAAUAUUAAAAAUCCUCUUAUGUAAGUCAACAAUAUAAUGGUAUGUAUUUUAAUAGUAGAAUAAAUACCAGCAUAUAAACUAAAGUAUAAAUCCCUAUACCCUGAAAAUCUCAUCUUGGGUUCAAUAUAUUUAACAUUUUAAGUAAUUUUGUCAGUCUGAAAUUCAUUUUUGGUAGUAUCAAAAAUAAAUUCCUUUUUUUUCAGAGAUAAUAUAAGUUAAUAUCAAGUUCCAAGACAGAAAUUAGCUGAAAAAAAUUACAUUUUACAUAUGUUGUUUUCUUUUAGAAUCAUAUUGACAGAUAAACAGUUGUAGUCUAAUAAAAUACUAUCAGUACUCAAAACACACUCCCAAAUAAUUUUAUUUAGUAAUGAAGAUUUAUAUAAUAUAUACAGCUGAGAUUUUAAAAAUUGGGUUUACUUUCUAAUCCAUGAAAACUCGUGGAGCUGGGUAGAUUUGAAAUGUCUACCUGAGUAAAACUGCGGCACCCUUCCUUGUUAGACAGGCAGGUUUGUGUGAGAGUGCAGCGGCGUUCUGUGGCCGGCCGAGGGUCCUUCCUCUUCCAUGCUCUGGGAAGACACAGUAGCACCGCCGUGGCCGCUGGAGAUAGCUCGGUGCUUCUCUAGCCUGUUGGUCGCCUGGACCUUGGUGGCAGCUGAAGUUUUCACAUCUAUAAAUGGGGUGAUAAUUGUAAUUUUUUUUUGUAAGAUCGCAUUGAAGGUUAGAUGGGAAUUUCUGUAGAGGUAAUCACAAUGCUUAUGGCCAUUUUAGGACUUUAUUAAUACAUAUCGUAAAUUAGAGUAGUAAUUUUUUUCUGUGGAGGAUAGUGAUUUAUGAUUAUUUGUAAGUGUAUUGUCGAUUAUGUGUGUUUCUUACUGUUGGAUAUUAGCAUUCUGUGUUCAAGACAGCACUUUCUCACUGCUUGGAAACCUGUAACCUGCAGGAACCGUCAGAAACCUUGUACUUAGCAUGGUGCUGCACGUGGAAACCCUGGAUGAUUAGGAUGAGAAGGGCCUGGUGUCUGAAAGUGUCCUCCAGUUUCUCCCUAGGGGAAUUUUCUCCUAUUGUUUUUUACUCAUUGUUAUGUUAGGAAAUGUUGUGGUCCUACCAUCCUCCCCCUGAGAAUCAGAACACCUUUGUUUGUGAUCAUUAUUUUUGUUGUACACAUGUAGUGAUUUUCUGCUAUUUUCUCAUUAAAACCUAGGUUAUAAGUUGUUUUCUGUAGCGAUGUGAAUAGUGAUAGGAACUACCCCAGCCUCAUAGCACUUUAGUGUUUGAGGAGGUGGUAAACUCACUAAUGCUUAUGGGAUGUUUCCUGUGUGUCAGGCCCCACCUUAACUGCUUUGAUAUUUAUUAACCUAGUUAGGGUACCUUAGAUUUAGUCCUCCUCUUUUUAAUAUCUGCCAGACACUGUGUUAAAAAUUGGGGGGAAAUAAAAAAAGAAACUUCAAUUCUUACUCUCAAGAUGUAUAAAGGUGGAAAUUGAAAACAUAUAAAGGGAUUAGAGUGACAGUUACCUUUGUAGUCACCUUUGAGAGAACACUGUCUGAGCCCACCCCUGCGCGCUCGGCACAGUCUGACUUCACUGCCUCCUUGGGUUCCCUCACUGUGCCUUCUCUCCUUAUCCCUGGGGUCUGAGCUGGAGUCCCCUGACCAGUGUCACUGUGGGCUCCUUUUCAUUUUCAGGUCCUUGGUGGUCACAUGGCCAGGACUGUGUUUGAACUGAAUAACAUCAUUUAAAGUACAUUUAGUUUAUAGCUGUGCUUACUGUUUAUAGUUACAGUGGCACAGUGACAUCAUGAAAGCAGGGAUAAGUGUGACUAUCACUUUCCUUGUUAUUCUGCAGAGGUGCUGGGCAUUUGGACAGUGCAGGGAAGAAGUAAGCUUAUGGGCACUGGUGGGUGAGGAGUGGGCAGUGGAGUUAGUGGGCAGGGGCAGGGCAUCAGACAAGGCUGCACUGGUUAGCUGUAACUCCCACACGCCUGUCGAGAGGGGUGCAGUUGCUUGGCUUUGUCUUCAUCUGUACGAGGUGUCUACAGGCAGUGCAGCUGCAGGUGCCGAUUGGAUCUGCUUCCCACGAUGGAUGCUGCAGACGCACGUUAGAAAGCGUAGUGGACCCCUGAGCAGCGGCUGGGGGUGUCGCUCAGUAGAACACUCGUCAGCGCUCUUUCCUCUUUGCUUCACUUGCGUCGCAUGCAGCACGUUUAGGCUUUCUUCAGUUUGGCACCGGUGACCACAGCACCAUCAGACGGUUCCCUGUGAGUACAGACUUACAGCUCUUCGAAUGGGAUGCCUCUGGUUUGAGGCAGUGCUGUAUCUAUCAUUUUUCGUGUCUGGUUUUUUAGUUGGUUUAUCAUUUGGCUUUGGAAUUUAGCCAUUUGUAUGUUUGAGGCAUUGUCUCUUUCAAAAUAUUGACACAGAGAGAGGCAAAUGAACAAAAACUCUGUUGACACUGAUCCAAGUGAUUCGCCUCCAGCUUCUACACUCUGGGUUCCUGUCCCUCACAGGGCCGCUGUUUGUUCAUGGCCUGCAUGUGCGAGAAGGAUCUGACUGUCCUUCACAGUGCGGCUGGAACUGACAGGGACACCUCCCGAUUAUUCCCUGGAGUAUCUUGAAAGAGCAGAUGAUAACACAUUGCUGUGUGUGCAUAAUGCAUCACAGCCCACAAGAAAAUACCAGUUCAGUGGAGUCCUAACUAUGGGAAACAUGUAUGUUGGUUCGUUUUGUAAAUUGUCCUUUUACAAUCAAGUAUGUUGGAAAUGAAGGCCACCUCCAGCUCAGACAGAAUUGUUAGUGAAUUGCCAGUUGGAAAGGUCAGGAGAGUACAUGGGACCUGCCCUUGCCAUCCACCCCUGCAGGAUCUGCUCAUUGCCUGCGUGUUGCCGGGACCUUGGGUGGCUCCUGUCCCUUUCCCUCAGCGGUCACCUGGGCACUGUCCUCUCUGGCUUCUGUGGUAUGUGGCCCCUGGCUGCUGGCCUAAGGCCUGGGCAGGUGGACCCAGCACUGAAGCGGACAUGCGGCAUCAGCACCAGGGCCUGGGUUCUCUGUGUGCUGCUGUACUGUGCAUUUCUGUACGUUCUGUGAUGAUUGCCUGCUGCUUUCCAAAACUAGUUCACAAAGAGCAUUUGUGAUCAGAUUGGUAUUUCUUCCUUCAGGUGCCUCAGUGGUCAUUUCAGUUUUUACAUUAAUGGUUAGUAAAGAAAGUUCCUUUUCAAACUAAAAAUUUUAACAAUUCAGAAGCAAUAGUGAACUACAGUAGUUUCUCAUUUAUUAUCAAGUGCUGAUUCAUUACAAAAAAAGAUAUAGAGAGAAACAGUCCCUCUUUUGAGAAACUUCAUUGUAGAGCCACAAAGAUAUGGAGAGGAUUUAAGCUUUAUUUGACAUAUGAUGAGAGUGAAGUCAUUUCUGUGAAGGUGUAUUUUUCUCCUUGUUGAGAUGUUUAUGUAUAAGGGCACAUACGUAGUCAGUGCUUACUAGAGACACAGUUAAUGUGAGAUGUACAAACCUAUAAGAACUUGCCAGAUUAGUGUACAGUGGCCUCCCGCAGAGUCAGGUGUGGAAGAAUACAAGAGGUCUGUCUGCGGCGAGCUGAAGAUUCGAAAGAUCCAGUUGAAGGUCUGGAGCUCAGUGCAGUGUCCCGUGCAAGUCCUACCAGGAGGCUGAAGGGUCUGCAUCAGAAGCCAGGAGACGAUGUCCAGGUGAGAGGAAGAUUGGAGCUCCUCCGAAAAAGCUGAAGCCCGCCUUCCUUCUUCAUUUCUCUUUUCUCCUUCAUUUCCCCGUCAAGCAGCAAACCUUUCUAGGGUGAAUCCUCAGCCACGUCUAGAACUAUGCUGAUCUAGUUUAGUCUGGAGUUUCCUACUUAAUUGACACGGUUAACUAUCCCAGCACAAUUGCCAAUUCCUGUGAGUACCAGUGUGGUAAAACAGUCUGUGUGAAGACAGUGUUGGAUGGAGAUGGCGCCCGUAGCUUUUGUCUGUUGCUUAAGAACUUUUGUGCCCACCUAACUGACCUGACCUUUUAAUUUGGUAAAGUGUGGAGAAGACAGUUUUCAUAAUAUUCCUGGAUUUCUGAUUGACUUGCACAAAACUUGUGUGGUAGUGGAUAUAAAUAUAAAAUGAAGUUGAUGUGGGGUAGAUGAUAAUGUGAUCAAAUGGAUUUUUUUCCUGUUUGAAGAAAGAAGCUGACAUUUUAUGAAUGAAUUCUGGCAGAGAGGCUUGUGGUGAUGAGCAGGGGGCCCUGUGGUUUGUAUGUAUGAGAUCUCUGUAGGUGUUUUGCCAUUAAUGAUAGCAAAAAUAAAAAUCUGGAAAUCUCUGAUUGAUAGUGAAGUAAAAAUGUAGAUAAUGGAAAAGAACCCAGGAUUUUAAGAAGUUCCCUUCCUCGUCAGUGAGAAACACAUCUUCUCUGUCAUUCUCCAAAGCCCCUGCCAUAUUACCCUCUAUGAAAGUAUUUAGGGAUGUCUUGUUACUGUUGAUUGUAUGAGUUGUAGCCAUUAUAUGCAGUAGCAGACACAGAAUGACACUGAUUCCUGAGUCUCACUCUUGGAAAUGCUGAAUUAACUGCCCUGGGGUGGGGCUGAGGCAUGUGCUUAGUGUGGGCUCUUAAGAGAUUGUGAUGUUCACCCAGGGGGAAGGCACACUGGGCGAUUUUCAUGCAUUUUCCUGUUGAAGGUUUUCUGAUGUGGAAGAAAGAUCACAUAUUCCCACAUCCUAUGCCAUGGCUAUUGCUGCCUUGUUGCCUAUGUUUGCUCUGGGUGUUUUCUUGACAAGAGUGACUAACAUGAAAAUAUCCCUCAGAAUAUGGAAUUAAGUCCACACACACAAACACACACACAUGGUUAUGGUUCGUCCUGCACCAUUAAGUGAAUUAAGUUGGUCUACUGAGGAUGAGGUGGUGCUUUCUCAGCCCUGUCUCCUCUGUGGGUUCAUUGUUUUGCACUCCCUUCCUUUGGGUUCCUCUGAGCCCUACUGUGUGUGGAUAGAGUCAAGCUUAGGCAUAACUGUUAGUGACCAAGAUGUUUUCUUCUCAGCGAAGUUUCUGGCCCACAAACUGGGAGUAGCUAGUCAGGUGCAUAGUUAUGGUUAGCAUCAGCCUGAUUUGCAGUUUUCUAAUUUUUACUAAAAGUCACUUGAGCAUUGCAGAGCAUGCUAUAAUCUCAGGAAACAAAGUAAAACCAAGUGAAUCAGGCAACACUGCACUGUGGCUCGGGUGUGAGGAGGCUCCUAGCCUCCUCUGGAGCACAGUGCUUACCUGCCAUUGUCUCCUUUUCCUCUUUGUAGAAUGAGAAGGUUAAAUUAAGCAAUGAUUAAGGUUCUCCUAGGCCUGACAGUCUGAAGUGCUACUUUAUUAUUAGUUUAAGAAGAUAUAGCAUCUACCUGUUGCUUAGUACUAUUUCCCUCACAUAAAAGAAAAUCUAGCUAAAAGCCAAAUAAAAA